This 46114-nucleotide long non-coding RNA is filed under the name Sorghum bicolor (sorghum). RNAcentral describes it as "long non-coding RNA (SBIC_LNC009277)". The record is from RNAcentral. Lineage: Eukaryota; Viridiplantae; Streptophyta; Magnoliopsida; Poales; Poaceae.
ACCUCCACCACCACGAUGUCCUGGCGGGCGUCCAGCGACGGCGCCAUGUACGCGCACAUGUUGGGGUUCUCCGCCAGAUACUCCUCCGUCAGGUGCAUGUACCGCUUCCGGAUCUGCGACUUGUCGCCUGCGCGUGCACACAAACAGUCGUGUCAGAGUCAGAAUCAAACCACCGUAUACAUCGUCGUCCGUCAAAGGCAUGCCAUGACAUUCCAGAGCAACGACAGAUCAAUCGAAAAAAGAGAAGGGCCGGUCCAGUCGUGCAAGGGAUGGUUAGGUACGGCGUGCGAAGGAUGUGAGUGAUCAAGCUUCUUGCUGAUUGAUGUGUAGAGCGAGCGAGCGAACAAUGGAGACGACGACGACGACAGAUGGGGAGAAAGUGCUAGAGAAAGACAAAAAGAAAUUUAUUUCAAUUCGAAAAAAACAAAAAAAAUAUUUUGAAUUGUUUGCUCAAAAACUUUUGGAAUCUGUAAAAAACGAAGAGACGACCGUAUGUAGAAAUCUGUUGAGUAGUCUCCACUGGUAAAAAAAGUAUUCAGAGUAAUUAACUUGGUCGUAAGUGGUAUAAAGUGUGUGAGUGGUGCGAGGACUUAAAACUACGAGGAAGCUGCUAUGCCGACGUGAAUGAAACAAGAAAAAGCAGGAGACGACGAUGUGAGUCAUCAACAAGCUUCUUCCUGGUUGAUGUGUAGAGCGAGCGAACGAUGGAGACGACGACGACGACAGACGGGGAGAAUAGAGCUAGAUGAGAGAGACAAUUAAAGAGAUACUCACACAUCCUCUUGAACUUCUCCUUGAGUUCGGUCAUGUGCUCGCUCUUUGUGAUCCGGAAGUAGUAGUCCGGGUAGUCCGCCUGGUGCACGCAGUUGGCCGGCGUCGCCGUCCCGAUCGCCAGCACGGUGGCCGGGCCCGUCGCGCGCUGCGCCUUCCUCACCUCCUCGACGGUCACAGUCGCGGCGGCCAUCGUCUCCCUCGCUUCUCUCUCUCUAUACGUUCUACCAGAGGCAAUCGGCUGCUAGCUACUUCGACACGUCAAUCGGUCGCCGGCCGGCUUUCCGGAUCUUCACAGCGAGACAGAGAGGUAGCUUCGGCGGCGAGCGAGCGCUGUGGAAGAUGAUCGGCUGUGGCCAGUAGCUCUGGGAUGGGAGCGCUGGUUGCUUGCUGUAAUGGCAGAGGAGCCCGCGGGGUGGUUAUAUAGCCGCGCGGUGUGUACCGUGUAGGUCGGUCAAGGUCGCUUCACUACCGGUUUCAUCGUCAGCCGGUCAGCCACGUGAUCACGUGGGAAUAUUCAAAGUCUAACAUGGUUUCUGGCUUUUAUUCUUCUUUCCCCACCCUACCUUAUUGCCAAUUUUCUUUUUUAUAUUUUUCUUUGCGUCGAAGUGUGGCGCGCGGCUCCUUAAUUUAGUUUAUUAUCUCGGCAAAUUUCGUGGUACUAACCGGCUUGUUUGAAAAAUGGUGGAUUAUUGUGUGAGAUUGGCCAAACCUAGAGAUGUGAGAAUUAUCCUUUCAAGUUCUCUUCUUUUACUAACAUAUUCAGUACUGUAAAAGUAGGUGGAACCAGAUACCCUCUCUCGGGCUCUCGGGUUUGUGUUAAAUAGGCAGGGAAUAGCUCCCUGCAUGGCACAUAUAACACAGUCAACAUAGAGAGAUAUUAUACAAGCGGUUCGCAACUCUUUUCUACAGUUGGAUUGACGAACCGCCUGCGCUGGUGGUCUGUGGAAAUAAACUUUUCCACAGACCUAUGGAAAUUCAUUUCUACAGGCGGUUCACAUAACUGAACCGCCUGUAGAAAUCAUUUUAUAAAAAAUACAAAAUUGACUUUUAAAAAUAGAAAAAAAGAUUUUAAUUAUGGGGAAAGCCCACGUUUUUUUUCUCGUAAAAUCGCGUGCUCCGCGGCCGGUGGGAUUCAAAACUAAAACCUCGCCCUUGCGCAUAGCCUCCUCUACCACUCCACCUAUCACUCAACUGUGUCUAUAUUAGAGUUUAGUUCCCCAUAUAUUAUCUUAAACCGAGCAUAUAUUGAUUAUUUGAGAGCCUAAACGGAUUUCAAUAGAAAAGUUAUCAACUACAAAGUUCCAUAACUUUUGAAGAUCUACAACUUUUAUAUUGCUAGUUUCUCCAUCUGAGGUCAUUUACAAAAUUUGAAUUUCAAAUUUGAGAAAUUCAAACGUAGUUUUCGACGACAAGAUGAUUUCAAAUGAAAAAUUAUCAACUACAAAGUUUGAUAACUUUUCGAGAUCUACAACUUUCAUUUUGAUGGUUUUUUCAAACGAGAUCAUUUGAAAAACUCAAAAAAUUUAAUUUCAAAUUAUUUCUACAGGCGGAUUUCUUAAGAAACCGUCUCUAGAAAUAUGAUUUUUAUAGGCAGUUUCUUAGGAGAACCGCCUGUAGAAAUACAUGAUUUCUACAGGCGGUUUUGUUAGGAAAACCGCCUGUAGAAAUUGAUUUUCACAGGCGGUUUUUGAGUUGGGCCCACCAAUUUCUUUUUACAGACGUUCUUUAAUCGAUUCCGUCUGUAAAAAUUUAUUUUCACCGCCAGCGUAGAGCUUCUCUCUACUAGUGAGUGUUUCAGUUACAACAAACUCACACAAACCCUGCACCUAAUCACACGUGCGCAUGCACAAACACCAGCGGUGCCCAACAACCUGAGCCACACCGUCCUCAUCAAGUAUACAAUGAACCUGGACAUCCCUAUCCAGAGCUAUGAUUAUCUCAACAUCUAACACUCCCUCUCAACCUCAGCCACUAACAAGGUUGAAAUUGUUUCUGCACUCUUUCAUCUUCACAUCAGGAAGAGCGUUAGUAAAACCUUCUCCAAGUUGAUCACCCGUAUGAAUGAACUGUAUAUCCAGUAGCUUCUUGGGCACUCUUUCACACACAAAAUAGAAAUCAAUCUCGAUCUGUUUGGUUCUGGAGUGGAACAUAGGAUUGGCUGACAAAUACUUGGCACCAAUGUCAUCACACCAUAGCCUAGCCACUGGAGUAUGUUCAACACAAUGUUCUUCCAACAACUUUUGUAUCCAUAUCAUCUCGGCAGUGGCAUUGGCAAGUGCCUUGUAUUCAGCUUCCGUGCUUGACCGUGAGACAGUAGGUUGUUUACAAACACUCCAAGCGAUUAAAUUUGGACCAAAAAACAUAGCAAAUCCCCUGGUUGAUCGGCGAUCAUGCACGCACCCUACCCAAUCGACAUCAGAAAAGGCGCUGACUAGCAAUGAUCUCAACUACCUGAUUUUCAAACCCCAAUUGUGUGUUCCUCUCACAUACCGCGAGAUGCAUUUGACAACACUCAAAUGUGUAGUUGUGGGUGCAUGAAGGAACUGGCAAACUUUAUUCAUAGCAAAGGAGAUGUCUUGCCUUGUGAGAUUAAGAUAUUGCAAGGCUCCCACAAGACGCCGGCACUUAGUGGAAUCAUCCGGCUCGACAACAUCACCUCCAGUGACACUAGGUUUCUUAGACUGACAAUGGAGUAUCAACUGGUUUACUCCAUGCAUGAUCGUUGCAGCACAUCACUUGCAUAUUGUCCUUGAGAUAGAACCAAUCAAGCCAUCUGAUAGUGUUUCACCUUGAUGCCAAGGAAGUAGUGUAGCUCCCUAGAUAUUUUAGGGCAAACUCUUGUUCAAGAUCUCUAAGUAAUGUCGUGGUUGCACUUUGAGAAGAGCUCGACACGAUGAUGACAUCCACAUAUAUCAGCUCAAAAACAUUGUGCAACUUUCCUUAGAAUAAUAGAACAAUAAGGUGUCUCCCUUUGAUGGUGUGAAUCCCAGCUGCUGGAGCUUGGUGCAGAGACAAGCAUACAGGCUCGAGGUGCCUCUUUGAGACCAUAAACCGCCUUGUCCAACUUGCAAACAUAAGUUGGCCAGCUAGUAUCUCUGUGACCAGGAUAUUGAUGCAUGUAUACUUUGUCUUCUAACACACCAUGCAAAAAGGCAUUCUGCACAUCCAGUUGUCUCAAAGACCAACCCUUGGACACAACAAUUGAGAGUACAAGAUGAAUAGUAGCAGCUUCACAACCGGACUAAAAGUUUGAUCAUAAUCAAGGACACACCUCUGCUUAGACCCUUUUGCAACCAGGCGUGCCUUGUACCGGUCUAUGGAGCCAUCUGCCUUCUUCUUAACCUUGUAGACCCACUUCCAGCCGAUCAUAUUCUUGCCUUUGGGAAGUGGAACCAGACGUCAGGUUCUAUUCUUCAACAAGGCCGUAUAAUCACGAUUCAUGGCGGACACCCAUCUCGUGUCUUCGAGUGCCUCGCCAACGAAGGAAGGUUCACCUGCAUCUGAUGUGAUAGCCAUGCACCAAUGUACAAUGCAAUCUGUAGUCAAGUCACCGACCGCUGAUGUUCAUGUGUCACUAGAGUAGACGAAGUCGACAAGAUGGCCACACAUGAGUCAGUAGGCGGAGAUGGGACAUCUGAUUCAGCCGAAUCAAGUGGAUGUGACAGCAACCCACCGCUCAGAUCAGAUUGCGUUGGCGCACCCGUAGUUGUCAUGGAUGUCAUGGCUGAGCUCUGUGCAGAAGAUCCCAAAGUCGCAUCCGACAUAGAUCUAGAACUCGGCGCCAUGGAUCCCGAGGCAAAUUGGACCGUCGUACCUAGAGCAGACGCAGGCGAAUCCCCUCCGAUUGGCACACCGUGCCCCCCAUCAGGCCGGCAUAUGAAAUAACGUCCAUGGUCUGACAUUCUUUCAUCUUUUCGCAUCGUUUCUUCAUCAUUCAACUCCAUUCUUGAACCUUUGUCAUCACUAGUAGAGGCACUAGGCUGGGUAUUAGUAGGCCUUGAAUUAAUCACUGAUUGAUCAUGUAUAAUUGCAUCCACAAAAUUUGUAGAUGUAUUUCUGAGAGUGUCAAACACAAGUGCUAGUUCUGCUCAGAGGCAAGCACCAGCGUUUGGAUGAAGAGAGGCAAAGGGAAAACUGUGCUCAUCAAAGACAACAUCACAUGAUAUGUGUACGUGACCUUCAACACGGUCUAGGCACUUAAAGCCUUUGUGCUGAUUGUUGUACCCAACAAACACACACCGUUUAGAGUGAAAUUCGAACUUUCUUGAGUUAUAUGGUCUAAGAUUAGGCCAUACUGCACAGCCAAAUGACCUUAGGAAGGUAUAGUCAGGUGCUACACCAUGCAAAUGCUCAUACGAUGUGUGUUGUUGAAUGACUUUUGAUGGCGAUCGGUUGAUCAGAAAAACGACAGUGAGAAAGGCCUCAUCCCAAAAAUUUAGAGGCAUUGAAGCAUGCACCAAGAGGGACCGGACAACUUUGACAAUGUGUCGAUGUUUGCGUUCAGCCGACCCAUUCUGUUGAUGCGAGUGAGGACAUGAUACAAGGUGAGCAAUGCCCAAAUGUUUAAAGAAGGAAUUUAGCGAUUGGUAUUCCCCACCACAAUCUGACCGAACUGAAAUUAUUUUAUGUCCAAAUUGCCACUCAGCCAUGUUCUGAAAAUCUUUAAAGCACUGAAAAACUUCAGACUUAUGGUGUAAUUGAUAGAUCCAAGUGAACUUACUAAAAUCGUCAGUGAAACAGAUAUAAUAUUAAUGCCGGCCUACAGAAGUAGGAGCUGGUCCCCACACAUAAGAGAAAAUAAGUUCAAAAGGCUUUGAUGACACACUAACUAACUUGGGGGUAUGGGAGUUGAUGACUCUUACCUUGCUGACCUGCAUCGCAUAUCGAAUUAUUACAUGAAUCUUUAACAAACGAACAGUUAUGGUAGACAAGGACCUACUGCACUACUUGAGGAGAUGCAUGACCUAUCCUAUGAUGCCAUAUGGAUGUGGUGGGCUUGAUGGCACUGAGCACCUCUUUAUUCAGCUGUGGCUUCAGAGGAUACAGACCCUUUAACAUGGACAUCGGAGGAGAGUCUUCUUCAUGGCCUGUUCCUUGAUAACAAAGUGAUCGAGUUGAAAUUCAAGGAAGACAUUAUUAUCACAAGCAAUGCGAUUUAUGGAAAGUAGACUCUUAUUUGGAUCACGCACAUGAAGGAUGUUGUUAAAAUGAAUAUUGCAAACUUUUGAAUGCAACAUAUUAUGACCAUAGCACAGAUUACAAGUCACCAAGCUGGUUGUGAGUGACCAAGAAAAUAAACUAAGAAAUCAGAAAAAAGAAAAAAGAUACAAAGGAGGGUGCCUGCCCUCGACACCUAACACCUACGAACUGAGCCUAUAAGAAAGGUAUACUCCAUUGCAAAGGUCGACUACACACAAGAACGCCCAAAAAUGAUGACAGCAAAGCAUCUGCCGACAAACCAAAUGGUAGCAAAGCAUCUGCCAAUGAACCAACUAGUGGCCAAGCAUCCAUCAUGGGAGAAGCGAAGAUAUCCACUGUGGCUAAGCAUCUGUAGCAGUGGAAGGUCCAUGUCACUCUCGACAGUAAAACUUCUACCAGAGAGGAGGCGGACGACACAACAACAAAGCAUCCACCAACAAACCAAACAACGACAAAGCAUCCACCAACGAAGCAAUGGAAACCAGGCAAGGUGAAGAGUUGUAGGACAGACCAAUGUGAGUGGAAACAAAGCACAAUAGGCACAGUGAGGGACUCCUCAGGGAACCAAUUGCAGGACCUAGGAUGAUUCUUUAGCGACACCUUCAAACAAGGGGAUGCCCAUAGAAGCGCGUCAUUGUUGGUCUUAGAGGCAUCUAAGGUAGGGAUUUCACUAGAAUCUAGCACUAGUGGAGCACGGGCUCAUAGAAUGACGCCUCUGGGAAGGUUAGUGGCAUCAAGACAUUACUGUUGUUCGCCCGGCCACCGCCGGGCUAGGCUUUCUCCGAGAGCACCAUGCCAGUCACCUUCACUAGGCCACCCAACUAGCCCAGGUCGUGAGCUAGGCAAAUGUGCCCACUGGCCACCAAUGCCUAGCCCCCAACAACAUGAAUGUCAUGGGACCACUAGGACCCGCUGCCCUAGGCCUGAGGCCCCAGAAAAAACCAACUAGUGGGUGCUCAAUUGAGGCCACAGAACCUUCAUCGCGGACCACCAUCGUGCACCAUGAAGCACAUCGCAGCAAGGGAAGGAUGAGAGAGGCUAGGUCUAGACCAAGGAGGAGUGGAUCCAGUCCCGCUGGCUAGCCUGCUCGCAACAGGACACAGACAUUGCAACCACGUAGCCAUCCCUCACAUGUCCCCAUGCGUACAACAACUGCUCUAGUCUAAUGGAAGUUGCGUUGACUACUUCUGUCUUCCAGCCAUGUUCUGAAAACCGUUAAAGCAAUGAAAUACUUUGGACUUAUAGCGUAAUAGAUAAAUCGUCAAUGAAACUGACAUAAUAAUCAUGCGGGCCUACAGAAGUAGGAGCCAGUCCCCAAACAUCAAAGAAAAUAAGUUCAAAAGGCUUGGAUGACACACUAACUGACUUGGGGUAUGGGAGUCGAUGACUCUUACCCUGUUGACAUUCAUCGCAUGUUGAAUUAUUACAUGAACAUUUAACAAUCAAAAAUUUAUGAUGGCAGUUGAUAGUAAUUAACUCUAAUCUUAAGCCAUCAACUAAUCAUAGGAAAGGCCCAAAAUGAUUUAUAAAGUAAUAUUGUAGGGGUUUAUUGUAACGAGUUCCACGAGUUGUGUUGUUCUCACUUAUCUUGGAGGAUAUUCAAUAUUUCACCAUAUAAAAGUAUCUCAAGUGAAGAAUGUGAGCACACCAUUGCGGAGAGCUCGUCGAAUCAAUUGAGACCAACAUAUCAUUUGCUAUAUUUGGAGCACCAGAGAGAAAGUCUUCGAUGGAUGCGACUCGGAAGACUCUAGAAGACCCAAGAACCAUCAUCAUCAUAAGACAAGGGACUAAACCAACAAGAUUCCACAGCUUUGUGAAAUAAUAUUUUUCAGGUAUUUAUGUAGAAGUUGGGAAAGGAAAGAAUCCAUCCAUGACAUGACUCAUUGCACAAACAGAUCGGAAAGUGGCACUAGAAGGAUAUGGAAGACACUAUAAGGCAUAGGAACAAAGUGGAGAUCUGACGGCUGCUAGGUGGGGCCGGCCGACCCCACAUGCCAGGCCGGCUGGCCUGCUCCUACUACCAGGUGGGCCCUCCGUCGUGUGGCGGCCUCCAACCGACCUCUACGAUGCAUCUUGACCAUUCUUUCGUGUCGGUUUGAUCCGAGGGCUGUGGUUUAUCCCACUGGGGUAUAUAAGCAUAGGCAAACCCCCUUAAGACAAUCAAUUCAUUCAUUCCAUCAUUGUUUAGUUCAGAGGUGUCCCUUGAAAGGAUAACCUAGAGCUCCACUAGCUAGGGCAUAGCCUUGUACUUUUCUCUUGUAUUCAACAUUAUUAAUCUAUUUAUGCUAUUUGUCUUCUAGUUCAUUGUAUUCUUCUUCUAGUUCAUCUAUUUAUUCUUCUAGUUCAUCAUCUAGAUUGUCUAGUUCAUCGUGUUCUUGUCUAGUUCAUGUUGAUCAUCUAGUUCUUGUUCUAGUUCAUGUAUGAGUUGAAUACUUGAUAUGACUUGGUAUAAUUCUAGAUACAUAAUUAUAAUGUUCAUUGCCUAUGUUGGUUAUAUCUUUAGUAUAAUUGGAGUAGCUUUGUGUUUAUACCCUUGUUUGUAUAGUGCUCAUUUUGAUGAUCAAGGGGUGGGUGGUAGAUAUUGUGUAAGCGUGGUGCUUAUACGUUGUUUACCUAUGAAUGCACCCUAUAUUUUUGGCCAUGUGGUAGAUCACGAAGGUGACUAUUAUAGCUUCAUUGAGUCCUCUAUAGUCUACUUCCCGAAUAUAGGACAGGUAAGGCUUAGUUGUGGGGUGAUGUCUUGCUCAUUUCUUGACCCACCUUAGCCAUGUCUCUUGUUUAUGAAUACGUGGUAACCCUGACUAUGAUUGCUAUAUAUAAUUGCACUAAUAAAUGUAGCCCAAUGACCUAUAGUUAGAAUAACCCUGGUAGUUAGUCUAUAUUUUCUAGUUCUUUCUAGAGUCAUUCCUACGUAGGAAAAUGCUUGGUGGAACCCCUUUUAGGAUUACCAUGAUCUGUUAUUAAUUAUCCAUAUUUAUGAUAUGAUUGAUCCCUUCUUUGAGUUUGAUCUAGUGGAACUCUUAUCACAAGUGUAAGUUAUAGCUUUUAUUCUUUUGACCUCCAAGUGCCUUCCUAGUGGUAGAAUUAUAAAUAAUGACACCUUGAACUUUUCUUGGUGAAAUGCUAUAACGGGUGUAUUUUAUCUAUACGCUUGUGGAUAACCUUCAUUCAUCUUUUAUAACUACUAUGAUCAUAAGUACAACCACAUCUUUUGGUGUUGUGUUGGGGAUGACAACUUGGCUUAAGGAAUGCUAAGAGAUGUCUCGAACAUUUUUGACGCCUUUGCUAAGGAAGGAUUUGACCCUUGUAUUUGUAAUUGUGUUAGAGAUGUCAAUAGUGGCUAAGGACCUGCUGCACUACUUGAGGAGAUGCAUUGCCUAGCCUAUGAUGCCAUAUGGAUGUGAUGGGCUUGAAGGCACCGAGCAGCUCUUUAUUCAGCUAUGGCUUCAGAGGAUAUGGACUCCUUUCACAUGGACCUCGGAGGAGAGUAUUCUUCCUGGCCUGCUCCUUGAUGACAAAGUGAUGGGCAUGAAAUUCAAGGAAGGCAUUAUUAUCACAAGCAAUGCGAUUUACAGAAAGCAGACUCUUAUUUGCAUCAGGCACAUGUAGGAUGUUGUUAAGAUGAAUAUUGCGAACUUAGGAAUGCAACAUAUUAUGACCAAUGUAGCACAGAUUACAAAUCACCAAGGUGGUGGUGAGGGACCUAGAAAAUAAACUAAGAAACAAGAAAAUGAAAAAAGAUACAUAGGAGGGUGACUGCCCUCAACAUCUAACACCUAGGAACUGAGCCUGCAAGAAAGUGACACACCAUCACAAAGGUCAACUACACAGAAGACCGCCCAACAACGAUGAUGGCAAAGCAUCCGCCAACAAACCAAAUGGUGGAAAAGCAUCCGCCAAUGAACCAACCAGUGGCCAAACAUUCAUCAGGGAGAAGCGAAGAUAUCCACUACGACAAAGCAUCGGUAACUGUGGGACGUCCAAAUCACUCUCGAUAGCAAAGCUUCUACCAGAGAGGAUGCCGACGGCACAAUGACAAACCAUUCGACAACGAACCAAACAAUGGCAAAGCAUCCACCAACGAACCAAUGGCGAUAGAGCAUCCACCAGAGGAGAUAGCAGCAAAGCAUCCAUUACAAUAUCCAAUGACCAUGCACCGGGCAAGGUCAAGAGUUGCAGGAUAGACCAAUGUGAUUGGAAAUGAAAAACAAUAUGCACCGUGGGGGACUCCUCCGGGAAUCAACGAUAGGACGUAGGCUUAUUCAUUAGCGACACCUUCAAAGAAGGGGGAUGCUCAUAGAACCGCAUUGUCGUUUGACAUAGAAGCAUCUAAGACUGGGCUUUCAUCUAGAAUCUAGCACCGGUGGAGAACAGGCUCGUAGAAUGACGCCUCUAGGAAGGUAAGUGGCAUCAAGACAUCACCGUUGUUCGCCCGACGACCACUGGGCUAGGCUUUCUCCCAGAGCACCACGCCGACUACCGCCACUAGGCCACCCAGCUAGCCCAAGUCGCGAGCCAGGCAAAUGUGGCUAGUGGCCACCAACGCUCGGCCUGAGACGCCAAGAAGGUCUUGGGACCACCAGAACCCACUGCGCCUCAGGCCCUAGAAAAAGCCAACUAGCGGGCGCUCGACUGAGCCCACAAAACCUCCAUCGGGCGCCACCACCACGCACCACGAAGCACAUCGUAGCAAGGGGAGGAGGAGAGAGGCUUGCUCUGGACUAGGGAGGGGUGGAUCCAGUCCCGUCGCCUAGACUGCUCGCAAUAGGACACUGGCGGUGCAACGCCGUAGCGGUCCCUCACGUGUCCCCACGCGUACGAUGGCCGCUCUAAUCUGAGGGGAAUUGCACCGACCACAUCCGUCUGCCAGACUGGAGGGGGUGCGAGAAUCGAGCGUGGCCUGGCUGCCUCGACUGCUCGCAGAGGGGGCCCAUGACCUGACUCCAACACGCGCCAGAGCAUGAAGGAGAACUGUUGUGCUACCCAGCCUUCCGCCACAGGAAGUAGUAGAUCCGGAUGCAAGGAAGCUGGAUGCCACAGAGGGCUCAGAUCCACCCCGCCGGUCCGCCAGUUCUCCGGAGGAGCUAUGUGGAGGGGAGAAAGGCAAAGGAGAGGGGAAGAGGGGGGAGACUAUGACGAAGGAGGCUUUGGCAGGCCGCCGCCAUGCCCCGGGAGGCGGCAGCGACAGCCGAAGAGGGGCGGUAGGUGGCGGGCUGGCGAGCCGGCGGCAGGAACCCCCAAGUCGGCCGUUGGGAGGUUCUCGGGGGAAAAAGUUGCAAGAGCUCACCAUUGGAUACAUGCAGGAAGUCCGGUUUGGCUGACUGUCGAGUGAACGUCAGGCGAUCUGUUUCAACGGCAAUGAUUCUUUAAGCUACAGAUUUAGCCAACCAUGUGCUUGGACUACUCUCCAUAUUUAGCCGUAUCUGCGAUGAGGAUUAGAAGGUGACAAACCGAGCCUUUCCGUACACAGUCAUAUAUAUGCAUGUGGUUAGCAUUUCGGUGACCAAACUAAGCGUUUCAAUUUCAAGCCAAACUACUGCAUUGCCAUCCUCAUCAAUUUACAGUGGUUCACAUUUCGUUCGUAGAAAUUAAUGCCAUUCAUCUGAUGACUAGUUGUACGUGUAGAAGGUCCCUUUGCCUCGCCUAUGGUAGAUUCUUUUUUUGCGAGACCCAGACACAAACGCUCACCAUACAAGUGCACAUUCAUCCUAUAAAUAUACUCACACACACUACCCCUAUGAGCACCUAAACGACUGAGUUGGACCGGCAAAUCUCAUUCAGAAAACCUAUAUAGAAUGCUCAAAUCCAAGGAUGGCCCUCCGCACCCGGCUGCAAAGUUCUGAUCCGCUGGCUAAGCAAAGCACCUCCUACAGUGCAGUUCUUCAUGUGGCUGCUUAUUCACGGAAGGAUUCAGUGCAAAACAAACUAACUUCGUAAAAGAGUGGUGGAUAACCCAAUCUGCCAGGUCUGCAACCAAAUGCCAGAGUCUACAGAUCACAUCAUUGCCGAAUGUAAAUUUGCUACUGAUAGUCUUUCAGAAUGGCAAUUGGCAACAGGGUAGUGGCAUCUGCAAUCCACGAAACUACAACACCAUCCUAUAUUCGAGACAAGCACUUCGCAACCUUCGUUGCCCUUUGUUGCUGGCAGUUGUGGAAAUAGACAAAUUGCUGAUUCUUAGUGUAAUGUUUUCCAAACAGCAUCAUUCGGGAAAACACUGAUGUAAACCUUUAUUAUCUGGGGUGGCAUUUUCAGCCAAGAUCACUUAAUACAAAUUUAAGGUGGGGAAACUCUCCCUCCCCGUUGAAGCUCAAAAAAUAAUAAUUGUUGAUCUGUCCACCAUGUUUGGAGCAUUUCAGGCGGUGAUGGCCGCUCCGGUGGUGAUGGGAACACUGUGGAGCACGACGGUCUCGACGGUGAGCCCGGGGCCAAAGCCAAAGAGGACGCCCCAGUCGAAGCCUUCGCCGGUGGUGGCCCGGCCAUCCUCGGCGGAGCGCUUACGCAUCUCGUCGAGGAUGAAGAGGACGCAGGCGCUGGACAUGUUGCCGUACUCAGAGAGAACAUGUCGCGUAGCGCGCAUUCGCUCCUUCUCCAGCCCGACCUUGGCCUCCACCUGGUCCAGGAUCGCCGGCCCACCGGGGUGCGCCACCCAGAAGAUAGAGUUGUAGUCGGUGAUCCCCAGCGGCUUGAAUGCCUCCUCCAGUGAGCGCUCUAUGUUCUUGGAGAUGAGCCCGGGCACGUCCUUGAGCAGAUGGAACGUGAGCCCGACCUCGCGGAGGUGGCCGUCGAUGGCGCCCUCGGAGUCUGGGAGGAUGGUCUGUGAUGCCGAGACGAGUUGGAACAGCGGGCGUUCCACACGCUCGUCGGGGUCAGCACCGACAAUAACCGCCGCGGCACCGUCGCCGAACAGCGCCUGCCCGACCAUGGAGUCGAGGUGGGACUCGGAGGGUCCACGGAACGUGACGGCGGUGAUCUCGGAGCACACCACCAGGACGCGCGCCCCACGGUUGUUCUCGGCGAGGUCCUUAGCCACGCGCAGCACCGUGCCGCCCGCGAAGCACCCCUGCUGGUACAUCAUCAGGCGGUUCACCGAGGGCCUCAGGCCCAGCAUCUUGGUGAGCUGGUAGUCGGCGCCCGGCAUGUCGACGCCGGAGGUGGUGCAGAAGACGAGGUGGGUGAUCUUGGAUUUCGGCUGCCCCCACUCCUUGAUCGCCUUCUGCGCUGCGGCCUUGCCCAGCUUGGGGACCUCCACCACCACGAUGUCCUGGCGGGCGUCCAGCGACGGCGCCAUGUACGCGCACAUGUUGGGGUUCUCCGCUAGGUACUCCUCCGUCAGGUGCAUGUACCGCUUCCGGAUCUGCGACUUGUCGCCUGUACCAGGUCAGUGAAUGUCAGACAGUCAGAGUCAGAAUAAAACCACCGUCGUCUAGGCAUGGCAUGGCAUGCUAUGGUGGAGCGCGGACGUCAGUGCAAGACCGCCGUCGUCGGUCAGUUUCUGGCCUUUCGAAAGAGCUAGAGAGAGACAAGUAUACUCACACAUCCUCUUGAACUUCUCCUUGAGUUCGGUCAUGUGCUCGCUCUUUGUGAUCCGGAAGUAGUAGUCCGGGUAGUCGGCCUGGUGCACGCAGUUGGCCGGCGUCGCCGUCCCGAUCGCCAGCACGGUGGCCGGCCCCGUCGCGCGCUGCGCCUUCCUCACCUCCUCCACGGUCACAGUCGCGCCGGCCAUCGUCUCCGUCCGCUCUUUCUCUCUACGUUGUACCAGAGGCAAUCGACCCCUAGCUACUUCGACAGGACGGUCGCCGGCCGGCUUUCCGUAUCGUCGGAGCUUGCUGUGCGACGGCAAGCGAGCGCUGUGAAGGUAGAUCGGUUAUGGCCUGUGGCUCUGGGAUGGGAGCGCUUGCUUGCUGUAAUGGCAGAGGAGGCAAAGGUUAUAUAGCCGCGCAUGCAGCUGGGGCAAAGGUGUGGAUUUCCCUUAACAUAAGACGACAAUCGAUUUUUAAGGUUGUGUGAGAGUGACUGCAUGCAUACAUGCAUGUGUUUAAAUCGUGCCUGUUCUCCCUUGUGUGUAAAUCACGGUCACGAAUACCAGUAGACAGUGUCACGUGCUACACUGAACGACCUAUGCUGGAAUAUAAGAGAGUGCUAUUGCAAAGUAUCAGCAUAUACUUUGUCAAAAUAUAUAGGAUAUUUUGACUACCGGUUUCCAUCCGUUAGUCGGUCAGCCACGUGAUCACGUGGGGAUUUUGAAGUCUAACCAAAUGGGAUAUGGUCUUUCUUCCCCCACCCUCUUGAAUAUGAUAGACAUAGGGAUGUAUUGGGUAAGUAAUGAGAAAUUAUGUAUCUUGAACAUGAUCACCUCAACUACCAUUUGAUCUAUUUGGAAACUUAGACAUGGUCUCUGUUUUUAGACGAUUGGCUAGAUAAGCAUGGAAAUGCUCCUUUUUAGGAUUAUUGGGCUCUUGCUUUGGAUGGUUCUGUGCCCAUCCGAUAAGAAGAAUUUACUAGAAGCUUACCUCAACAAGAUCAAGACUAUGACAGGGGAUGGUGAAGAAUGACCUGGAAAUCCUUGAUGGGUCAAGAUUCAGCGAUCACUACGGGAAACAAGAUCUUUGCCGAGGGUCCAGCUUUGCCGAGAGCCAGACCCUCGGCAAAGCACCCUUUGCCGAGAGCCAGGGCGGACUCUAGGCAAAGAACCUUUGCCGACAGCUAAGCUCUCGGCAAAGCCGAGCACUCGGCAAAGGUGCCGCGCCGUGAACAGCUUCCGUAGUCGUCGCCUUUGCCGAGAGCCAUCCCGUUAGGCUCUCGGCAAAGAGGAGGGUGGCAAAUCUCACAUGCCUAAAGCUAGGCCCAGGCCAGCAACCUUUGCCGAGCGCAGGCCACCCUGGCUCUCGGCAAAGGCUCCUUUGCCGAGAGCCAAAAUUGACCCUCGGCAAAGAGGUCCUUUGCCGAGAGCCACUAUUAGCCCUCGGAAAAGAGAAUUUUUUUUUUGAAUUUUGGACCCAAAAUUUUUCUGUAGCCCUUGCAUAUUAUAUACAAGCAUAGGUUCAAAGUUUAGAGAUUUUUAUAACUUUUUGCUAUAUUUCAUCAAUUAAUUUAUUUUCCUUGUAUUUUUCUCGAAAAAGUCAAUUUGAACUAGAGGUGCAUGAAAUAAUAAAAUAUGGCCAUUCAAAAAAUGAUAUUCAUAUUCGAGAGUGCACUUUGAGGCUAUAUCCAUAAAGUCACCCAAAAAUUUGAAUGUCUUGUAUACGGAACAUGACCAUCGAUGUGUUGUAUAUGUGAUUUUUAAUUAUAAAAAAUCCAAAUGAACUCCAAAAAUCACAAAACUUGGCGACGUGCCAUGUUAUCGCAUGUGGACGCUGUGGUAAAAAAUUCAGUAGUGAGCUAGUGGCAGACAUCCUUGAGCAUGUUUAGUAGGCAGGGGAGUUUUGUUUGUAUAUAUAUGUUGCUGCCUACAUGUGGUAUUAUUUUUCUUAAAUUAGUAGGAGUAUAUUAUUUACAUACGGUUUGUGUGGGGUUGCACACUGCUAGCAGAGGUAACAGUAUGGUUUAUACUAGCGUGGGUUGGUUGCUAAUGCUGCAGGGGCUGUGUUGUGUGAGAGACCCAAUUAUGUUGGGUCUGGAUUUGGUGUAAUGAUGUGGUAUGGGACAUUGGGGUGGAUCACUGGAUGGUGCUGCUGCUGCAGGCUGCUACUGGUAGCGCUAGAUAAGAGCAGCUUGGUCUCAUGGAUCCUGUGAUGUGAACAAACAACCAAACAAACAAAGCCUGAUGAACUCAUCCAGGCACCACAGCUGCUCCCUGUCUUCUCUUCUCCAGCCAAACAAGAAAACACACACACCCCUUGGUUUUUCCAUCUCCACAAGCAGCAAGAAUUCUGGGGUCACCUUUCUUCUGUUUCUUUUCUCUUCCACCAACAAAAUACACCUACAACAAGCUCCAGCAGUCCAGCUGGGAAACACUACAAAUACAAAUCCAUUCUGUUAUCUUUUAUCAGUUUCCUAUUUCCUAUUAAAAAAAUCCUAUUCUCCAGAAUGCAUUAUUGGAUUUUGCGAAGGAUGUAUGUCUUUGCCGUAAGAUAUCCAUUUCAUGAAAACGGGAUGAACUGAACCUGCUGCUGUUGGUUUUUGUACCAAUGUAAAAACGAUUCCAGAAGUGUUUGCAGUUCACUUCCUAUGUACACGUUUGAGAAGCUCUUUGCCUAGCCAUUGCAUUCACAGCAGAAAACUUGCCGUUACAUGUGCUUAUACAUAUACAGCAGCAGCAUAUAAAUGCAGCCUUCUCAUUUGCAAAACUGAUCAGUAAAGGUUUAUAGUGAUAUUCCUUAAUUGGUUUUGGCUAUUUAUGUGUUCUACCUUUGUAUGUUAAGUUCCAAUUUGGGUAUUAAUUAAUGUGAUUAUAUUAACAAAUUUAUAUGUUGCAUAUAUAUGUGCUGCCGGCCAUCGAGCCGGCUUUUUUUUCCAGGUUUUGGAAACCUCCCCCGUGCAGGGGAGGUUCUGCCGAAAUUUUCUACUUAUAGUGUUGUUUUUUUUUGUUUUGCAGAGCAGGACCUGUCGAGGGGACUUAUGGCCACCCGAGUACGCAACACACGUGGCAGCGGGUGGCAGGUUAGUCCUUAUGGCCAACCGAGUACGCAACACACGUGGCCUGGUGCCCAUCCGCAGCACGGCCACCCUGGGUUGUCCGGCAGCCCUCCUCCGCGCCCCAGAUACUCGUACCCGUACCAGUCGGUGACAGAGUAGGCCAUGUGGGCGCCAUGGGCAGGUGGGAGCUCUCCACACCCUGGGGGGCACUCACCCUGGUCGGCGUGGCCAGAUGGGGGCUCGGGACACGACGGAGGCCAUGGCGACGACGGGUCAGAGUCACAACACUAGGGGUGAGGCGCUAGCUAGCGACUUCGAGUAGUGAUAUUGAUGUAGAUUUGUGGUUUAUGUUAUGAACUUGUGGCAACUUUAUGUUAUAUUUGUCAUAUAUAUAUGUGGAUUUGUGAUAUCUGUGGACUUCAAUAUGUUUCAUGUGUGAUUUAUAUGUGGAUUUGUGAUAUAGACAUGUGGAUUUGUGAUAUGUGGCUGUGCAUGUAAAAAACAGGGAAAAAAACAAAAAAAAAUUCUAGCUUUACCGAGAACCAGAAUACCAGCACUCGGCAAAGAUGGAAAGCUGAUCACCAGAAUACCAGCUUUGCCGAGAGCCAGCCUGGUAGGCUCUCGGCAAAGUUUUUUUUAAAAAAAAAUUAAAAAGUCUUUGCCGAGAGCCUUCUAGCCCGGCUCUCGGCAAAGACGACGUCAACUUUAACGUUUCUUGACGGCGCCGUGGGCUUUGCCGAGGGCGCUUCUGGCCCUCGGCAAAGCCUUUGCCGAGAGCCUGGACACGUGGCUCUCGGCAAAGAAUUCUUUGCCGAGAGAUUCUUUGCCGAGAACUCUUUGCCGAGAGCCACGUGGCAGGCUCUCGGCAAAGCCUUUGCCGAGGGCUUUUAGGCGUUUGCCGAGGGCUCUCGACACUCGGCAAAGACGGUGGAUCCAGUAGUGGAUUGAAUGGGAUGUAAAGGAGAUGCCUUGGUGGAGUGCACUGGACACCUCGCUGAAAUCUAGUUUGAUGUUGUGUUGUCUUAUUAUCGAGUGGAGUAGUUGAAAGUUGUCUCUGUAUUGUUUCUAGCUUCAGUCCUGGUGGACGAACCUGAGGAUUUGAACUGCAAUACUGUAAUAACUUUGUUCUUUUGAUGUUUAUUGAAAGGCCGGGGCAUAAUGCUCUUGAACUCUAAAAAAAGUGUGUCUCAUGGCUCCUUAACAUCGAAGAAAAUAAGUUCAAAAGGCUUGGAUGACACACUAACUGACUUGGGGUAUGGGAGUCGAUGACUCUUACCCUGUUGACAUUCAUCGCAUGUUGAAUUAUUACAUGAACAUUUAACAAUCAAAAGUUUAUGAUGGCAGUUGAUAGUAAUUAACUCUAAUCUUAAGCCAUCAACUAAUCAUAGGAAAGGCCCAAAAUGAUUUAUAAAGUAAUAUUAUAGGGGUUUAUUCUAACGAGUUCCACGAGUUGUGUUGUUCUCACUUAUCUUGGAGAUAUUCAAUAUUUCACCAUAUAAAAGUAUCUCAAGUGAAGAAUGUGAGCACACCAUUGCGGAGAGCUCGUCGAAUCAAUUGAGACCAACAUAUCAUUUGCUAUAUUUGGAGCACCAGAGAGAAAGUCUUCGAUGGAUGCGACUCGGAAGACUCUAGAAGACCCUAGAACCAUCAUCAUCAUAAGACAAGGGACUAAACCAACAAGAUUCCACAGCUUUGUGAAAUAAUAUUUUUCAGGUAUUUAUGUAGAAGUUGGGAAAGAAAAGAAUCCAUCCAUGACAUGACUCAUUGCACAAACAGAUCGGAAAGUGGCACUAGAAGGAUAUGGAAGACACUAUAAGGCAUAGGAACAAAGUGGAGGUCUGAUGGCUGCUAGGUGGGGCCGGCCGACCCCACAUGCUAGGCCGGCUGGCCUGCUCCUACUACCAGGUGGGCCCUCCGUCGUGUGGCGGCCUCCAACCGACCUCUACGAUGCAUCUUGACCAUUAUUUCGUGUCGGUUUGAUCCGAGAGCUGUGGUUCAUCCCACUGGGGUAUAUAAGCAGAGGCAAACCCCCUUAAGACAAUCAAUUCAUUCAUUCCAUCAUUGUUCAGUUCAGAGGUGUCCCUUGUAAGGAUAACCUAGAGCUCCACUAGCUAGGGCAUAGCCUUGUACUUUUCUCUUGUAUUCAACAUUAUUAAUUUAUUUAUGCUAUUUGUCUUCUAGUUCAUUGUAUUCUUCUUCUAGUUCAUCUAUUUAUUCUUCUAGUUCAUCAUCUAGAUUGUCUAGUUCAUCGUGUUCUUGUCUAGUUCAUCUUGAUCAUCUAGUUCUUGUUCUAGUUCAUGUAUGAGUUGAAUACUUGAUAUGACUUGGUAUAAUUCUAGAUACAUAAUUAUAAUGUUCAUUGCCUAUGUUGGUUAUAUCUUUAGUAUAAUUGGAGUAGCUUUGUGUUUAUACCCUUGUUCGUAUAGCGCUCAUUUUGAUGAUCAAGGGGUGGGUGGUAGAUAUUGUGUAAGCGUGGUGCUUAUACGUUGUUUACCUAUGAAUGCACCCUAUAUUUUUGGCCAUGUGGUAGAUCACGAAGGUGACUAUUAUAGCUUCAUUGAGUCCUCUAUAGUCUACUUCCCGAAUAUAGGACAGGUAAGGCUUAGUUGUGGGGUGAUGUCUUGCUCAUUUCUUGACCCACCUUAGCCAUGUCUCUUGUUUAUGAAUACGUGGUAACCCUGACUAUGAUUGCUAUAUAUAAUUGCACUAAUAAAUGUAGCCCAAUGACCUAUAGUUAGAAUAACCCUGGGAGUUAGUUUAUAUUUUCUAGUUCUUUCUAGAGUCAUUCCUACGUAGGAAAAUGCUUGGUGGAACCCCUUUUAGGAUUACCAUGAUCUGUUAUUAAUUAUCCAUAUUUAUGAUAUGAUUGAUCCCUUCUUUGAGUUUGAUCUAGUGGAACUCUUAUCACAAGUGUAAGUUAUAGCUUUUAUUCUUUUGACCUCCAAGUGCCUUCCUAGUGGUAGAAUUAUAAAUAAUGACACCUUGAACUUUUUUUUGGUGAAAUGCUAUAACGGGUGUAUUUUAUCUAUACGCUUGUGGAUAACCUUCAUUCAUCUUUUAUAACUACUAUGAUCAUAAGUACAACCACAUCUUUUGGUGUUGUGUUGGGGAUGACAACUUGGCUUAAGGAAUGCUAAGAGAUGUCUCGAACAUUUUUGACGCCUUUGCUAAGGAAGGAUUUGACCCUUGUAUUUGUAAUUGUGUUAGAGAUGUCAAUAGUGGCUAAGGACCUGCUGCACUACUUGUGGAGAUGCAUUGCCUAGCCUAUGAUGCCAUAUGGAUGUGAUGGGCUUGAAGGCACCGAGCAGCUCUUUAUUCAGCUAUGGCUUCAGAGGAUAUGGACUCCUUUCACAUGGACCUCGGAGGAGAGUAUUCUUCCUGGCCUGCUCCUUGAUGACAAAGUGAUGGGCAUGAAAUUCAAGGAAGGCAUUAUUAUCACAAGCAAUGCGAUUUACAGAAAGCAGACUCUUAUUUGCAUCAGGCACAUGUAGGAUGUUGUUAAGAUGAAUAUUGCGAACUUAGGAAUGCAACAUAUUAUGACCAAUGUAGCACAGAUUACAAAUCACCAAGGUGGUGGUGAGGGACCUAGAAAAUAAACUAAGAAACAAGAAAAUGAAAAAAGAUACAUAGGAGGGUGACUGCCCUCAACAUCUAACACCUAGGAACUGAGCCUGCAAGAAAGUGACACACCAUCACAAAGGUCAACUACACAGAAGACCGCCCAACAACGACGAUGGCAAAGCAUCCGCCAACAAACCAAAUGGUGGAAAAGCAUCCGCCAAUGAACCAACCAGUGGCCAAACAUUCAUCAGGGAGAAGCGAAGAUAUCCACUACGACAAAGCAUCGGUAACUGUGGGACGUCCAAAUCACUCUCGAUAGCAAAGCUUCUACCAGAGAGGAUGCCGACGGCACAAUGGCAAACCAUUCGACAACGAACCAAACAAUGGCAAAGCAUCCACCAACGAACGAAUGGCGAUAGAGCAUCCACGAGAGGAGAUAGCAGCAAAGCAUCCAUUACAAUAUCCAAUGACCAUGCACCGGGCAAGGUCAAGAGUUGCAGGAUAGACCAAUGUGAUUGGAAAUGAAAAACAAUAUGCACCGUGGGGGACUCCUCCGGUAAUCAACGAUAGGACGUAGGCUUAUUCAUUAGCGACACCUUCAAAGAAGGGGGAUGCUCAUAGAACCGCAUCGUCGUUUGACAUAGAAGCAUCUAAGACUGGGCUUUCAUCUAGAAUCUAGCACCGGUGGAGAACAGGCUUGUAGAAUGACGCCUCUAGGAAGGUAAGUGGCAUCAAGACAUCACCGUUGUUCGCCCGACGACCACUGGGCUAGGCUUUCUCCCAGAGCACCACGCCGACUACCGCCACUAGACCACCCAGCUAGCCCAAGUCGCGAGCCAGGCAAAUGUGGCUAGUGGCCACCAACGCUCGGCCUGAGACGCCAAGAAGGUCUUGGGACCACCAGAACCCACUGCGCCUCAGGCCCUAGAAAAAGCCAACUAGCGGGCGCUCGACUGAGCCCACAAAACCUCCAUCGGGCGCCACCACCACGCACCACGAAGCACAUCGUAGCAAGGGGAGGAGGAGAGAGGCUUGCUCUGGACCAGGGAGGGGUGGAUCCAGUCCCGUCGCCUAGCCUGCUCGCAACAGGACACUGUCGGUGCAACGCCGUAGCGGUCCCUCACGUGUCCCCACGCGUACGAUGGCCGUUCUAAUCUGAGGGGAAUUGCACCGACCACAUCCGUCUGCCAGACUGGAGGGGGUGCGAUCGAGCGUGGCCUGGCUGCCUCGACUGCUCGCAGAGGGGGCCCAUGACCUGACUCCAACACGCGCCAGAGCAUGAAGGAGAACUGUUGUGCUACCCAGCCUUCCGCCACAGGAAGUAGUAGAUCCGGAUGCAAGGAAGCUGGAUGCCACAGAGGGCUCAGAUCCACCCCGCCGGUCCGCCAGUUCUCCGGAGGAGCUAUGUGGAGGGGAGAAAGGCAAAGGAGAGGGGAAGAGGGGGGAGACUAUGACGAAGGAGGCUUUGGCAGGCCGCCGCCAUGCCCCGGGAGGCGGCAGCGACAGCCGAAGAGGGGCGGUAGGUGGCGGGCUGGCGAGCCGGCGGCAGGAACCCCCAAGUCGGCCGUCGGGAGGUUCUCGGGGGAAAAAGUUGCAAGAGCUCACCAUUGGAUACAUGCAGGACAGUCCGGUUUGGCUGACUGUCGAGUGAACGUCAGGCGAUCUGUUUCCACGGCAAUGAUUCUUUAAGCUACAGAUUUAGCCAACCAUGUGCUUGGACUACUCUCCAUAUUUAGCCGUAUCUGCGAUGAGGAUUAGAAGGUGACAAACCGAGCCUUUCCGUACACAGUCAUAUAUAUGCAUGUGGUUAGCAUUUCGGUGACAAAACUAAGCGUUUCAAUUUCAAGCCAAACUACUGCAUUGCCAUCCUCAUCAAUUUACAGUGGUUCACAUUUCGUUCGUAGAAAUUAAUGCCAUUCAUCUGAUGACUAGUUGUACGUGUAGAAGGUCCCUUUGCCUCGCCAAUGGUAGAUUCUUUUUUUGCGAGACCCAGACACAAACGCUCACCAUACAAGUGCACAUUCAUCCUAUAAAUAUACUCACACACACUACCCCUAUGAGCACCUAAACGACUGAGUUGGACCGGCAAAUCUCAUUCAGAAAACCUAUAUAGAAUGCUCAAAUCCAAGGAUGGCCCUCCGCACCCGGCUGCAAAGUUCUGAUCCGCUGGCUAAGCAAAGCACCUCCUACAGUGCAGUUCUUCAUGUGGCUGCUUAUUCACGGAAGGAUUCAGUGCAAAACAAACUAACUUCGUAAAAGAGUGGUGGAUAACCCAAUCUGCCAGGUCUGCAACCAAAUGCCAGAGUCUACAGAUCACAUCAUUGCCGAAUGUAAAUUUGCUACUGAUAGUCUUUCAGAAUGGCAAUUGGCAACAGGGUAGUGGCAUCUGCAAUCCACGAAACUACAACACCAUCCUAUAUUCGAGACAAGCACUUCGCAACCUUCGUUGCCCUUUGUUGCUGGCAGUUGUGGAAAUAGACAAAUUGCUGAUUCUUAGUGUAAUGUUUUCCAAACAGCAUCAUUCGGGAAAACACUGAUGUAAACCUUUAUUAUCUGGGGUGGCAUUUUCAGCCAAGAUCACUUAAUACAAAUUUAAGGUGGGGAAACUCUCCCUCCCCGUUGAAGCUCAAAAAAUAAUAAUUGUUGAUCUGUCCACCAUGUUUGGAGCAUUUCAGGCGGUGAUGGCCGCUCCGGUGGUGAUGGGAACACUGUGGAGCACGACGGUCUCGACGGUGAGCCCGGGGCCAAAGCCAAAGAGGACGCCCCAGUCGAAGCCUUCGCCGGUGGUGGCCCGGCCAUCCUCGGCGGAGCGCUUACGCAUCUCGUCGAGGAUGAAGAGGACGCAGGCGCUGGACAUGUUGCCGUACUCAGAGAGAACAUGUCGCGUAGCGCGCAUUCGCUCCUUCUCCAGCCCGACCUUGGCCUCCACCUGGUCCAGGAUCGCCGGCCCACCGGGGUGCGCCACCCAGAAGAUAGAGUUGUAGUCGGUGAUCCCCAGCGGCUUGAAUGCCUCCUCCAGUGAGCGCUCUAUGUUCUUGGAGAUGAGCCCGGGCACGUCCUUGAGCAGAUGGAACGUGAGCCCGACCUCGCGGAGGUGGCCGUCGAUGGCGCCCUCGGAGUCUGGGAGGAUGGUCUGUGAUGCCGAGACGAGUUGGAACAGCGGGCGUUCCACACGCUCGUCGGGGUCAGCACCGACAAUAACCGCCGCGGCACCGUCGCCGAACAGCGCCUGCCCGACCAUGGAGUCGAGGUGGGACUCGGAGGGUCCACGGAACGUGACGGCGGUGAUCUCGGAGCACACCACCAGGACGCGCGCCCCACGGUUGUUCUCGGCGAGGUCCUUAGCCACGCGCAGCACCGUGCCGCCCGCGAAGCACCCCUGCUGGUACAUCAUCAGGCGGUUCACCGAGGGCCUCAGGCCCAGCAUCUUGGUGAGCUGGUAGUCGGCGCCCGGCAUGUCGACGCCGGAGGUGGUGCAGAAGACGAGGUGGGUGAUCUUGGAUUUCGGCUGCCCCCACUCCUUGAUCGCCUUCUGCGCUGCGGCCUUGCCCAGCUUGGGGACCUCCACCACCACGAUGUCCUGGCGGGCGUCCAGCGACGGCGCCAUGUACGCGCACAUGUUGGGGUUCUCCGCUAGGUACUCCUCCGUCAGGUGCAUGUACCGCUUCCGGAUCUGCGACUUGUCGCCUGUACCAGGUCAGUGAAUGUCAGACAGUCAGAGUCAGAAUAAAACCACCGUCGUCUAGGCAUGGCAUGGCAUGCUAUGGUGGAGCGCGGACGUCAGUGCAAGACCGCCGUCGUCGGUCAGUUUCUGGCCUUUCGAAAGAGCUAGAGAGAGACAAGUAUACUCACACAUCCUCUUGAACUUCUCCUUGAGUUCGGUCAUGUGCUCGCUCUUUGUGAUCCGGAAGUAGUAGUCCGGGUAGUCGGCCUGGUGCACGCAGUUGGCCGGCGUCGCCGUCCCGAUCGCCAGCACGGUGGCCGGCCCCGUCGCGCGCUGCGCCUUCCUCACCUCCUCCACGGUCACAGUCGCGCCGGCCAUCGUCUCCGUCCGCUCUUUCUCUCUACGUUGUACCAGAGGCAAUCGACCCCUAGCUACUUCGACAGGACGGUCGCCGGCCGGCUUUCCGUAUCGUCGGAGCUUGCUGUGCGACGGCAAGCGAGCGCUGUGAAGGUAGAUCGGUUAUGGCCUGUGGCUCUGGGAUGGGAGCGCUUGCUUGCUGUAAUGGCAGAGGAGGCAAAGGUUAUAUAGCCGCGCAUGCAGCUGGGGCAAAGGUGUGGAUUUCCCUUAACAUAAGACGACAAUCGAUUUUUAAGGUUGUGUGAGAGUGACUGCAUGCAUACAUGCAUGUGUUUAAAUCGUGCCUGUUCUCCCUUGUGUGUAAAUCACGGUCACGAAUACCAGUAGACAGUGUCACGUGCUACACUGAACGACCUAUGCUGGAAUAUAAGAGAGUGCUAUUGCAAAGUAUCAGCAUAUACUUUGUCAAAAUAUAUAGGAUAUUUUGACUACCGGUUUCCAUCCGUUAGUCGGUCAGCCACGUGAUCACGUGGGGAUUUUGAAGUCUAACCAAAUGGGAUAUGGUCUUUCUUCCCCCACCCUCUUGAAUAUGAUAGACAUAGGGAUGUAUUGGGUAAGUAAUGAGAAAUUAUGUAUCUUGAACAUGAUCACCUCAACUACCAUUUGAUCUAUUUGGAAACUUAGACAUGGUCUCUGUUUUUAGACGAUUGGCUAGAUAAGCAUGGAAAUGCUCCUUUUUAGGAUUAUUGGGCUCUUGCUUUGGAUGGUUCUGUGCCCAUCCGAUAAGAAGAAUUUACUAGAAGCUUACCUCAACAAGAUCAAGACUAUGACAGGGGAUGGUGAAGAAUGACCUGGAAAUCCUUGAUGGGUCAAGAUUCAGCGAUCACUACGGGAAACAAGAUCUUUGCCGAGGGUCCAGCUUUGCCGAGAGCCAGACCCUCGGCAAAGCACCCUUUGCCGAGAGCCAGGGCGGACUCUAGGCAAAGAACCUUUGCCGACAGCUAAGCUCUCGGCAAAGCCGAGCACUCGGCAAAGGUGCCGCGCCGUGAACAGCUUCCGUAGUCGUCGCCUUUGCCGAGAGCCAUCCCGUUAGGCUCUCGGCAAAGAGGAGGGUGGCAAAUCUCACAUGCCUAAAGCUAGGCCCAGGCCAGCAACCUUUGCCGAGCGCAGGCCACCCUGGCUCUCGGCAAAGGCUCCUUUGCCGAGAGCCAAAAUUGACCCUCGGCAAAGAGGUCCUUUGCCGAGAGCCACUAUUAGCCCUCGGAAAAGAGAAUUUUUUUUUUUGAAUUUUGGACCCAAAAUUUUUCUGUAGCCCUUGCAUAUUAUAUACAAGCAUAGGUUCAAAGUUUAGAGAUUUUUAUAACUUUUUGCUAUAUUUCAUCAAUUAAUUUAUUUUCCUUGUAUUUUUCUCGAAAAAGUCAAUUUGAACUAGAGGUGCAUGAAAUAAUAAAAUAUGGCCAUUCAAAAAAUGAUAUUCAUAUUCGAGAGUGCACUUUGAGGCUAUAUCCAUAAAGUCACCCAAAAAUUUGAAUGUCUUGUAUACGGAACAUGACCAUCGAUGUGUUGUAUAUGUGAUUUUUAAUUAUAAAAAAUCCAAAUGAACUCCAAAAAUCACAAAACUUGGCGACGUGCCAUGUUAUCGCAUGUGGACGCUGUGGUAAAAAAUUCAGUAGUGAGCUAGUGGCAGAAAUCCUUGAGCAUGUUUAGUAGGCAGGGGAGUUUUGUUUGUAUAUAUAUGUUGCUGCCUACAUGUGGUAUUAUUUUUCUUAAAUUAGUAGGAGUAUAUUAUUUACAUACGGUUUGUGUGGGGUUGCACACUGCUAGCAGAGGUAACAGUAUGGUUUAUACUAGCGUGGGUUGGUUGCUAAUGCUGCAGGGGCUGUGUUGUGUGAGAGACCCAAUUAUGUUGGGUCUGGAUUUGGUGUAAUGAUGUGGUAUGGGACAUUGGGGUGGAUCACUGGAUGGUGCUGCUGCUGCAGGCUGCUACUGGUAGCGCUAGAUAAGAGCAGCUUGGUCUCAUGGAUCCUGUGAUGUGAACAAACAACCAAACAAACAAAGCCUGAUGAACUCAUCCAGGCACCACAGCUGCUCCCUGUCUUCUCUUCUCCAGCCAAACAAGAAAACACACACACCCCUUGGUUUUUCCAUCUCCACAAGCAGCAAGAAUUCUGGGGUCACCUUUCUUCUGUUUCUUUUCUCUUCCACCAACAAAAUACACCUACAACAAGCUCCAGCAGUCCAGCUGGGAAACACUACAAAUACAAAUCCAUUCUGUUAUCUUUUAUCAGUUUCCUAUUUCCUAUUAAAAAAAUCCUAUUCUCCAGAAUGCAUUAUUGGAUUUUGCGAAGGAUGUAUGUCUUUGCCGUAAGAUAUCCAUUUCAUGAAAACGGGAUGAACUGAACCUGCUGCUGUUGGUUUUUGUACCAAUGUAAAAAUGAUUCCAGAAGUGUUUGCAGUUCACUUCCUAUGUACACGUUUGAGAAGCUCUUUGCCUAGCCAUUGCAUUCACAGCAGAAAACUUGCCGUUACAUGUGCUUAUACAUAUACAGCAGCAGCAUAUAAAUGCAGCCUUCUCAUUUGCAAAACUGAUCAGUAAAGGUUUAUAGUGAUAUUCCUUAAUUGGUUUUGGCUAUUUAUGUGUUCUACCUUUGUAUGUUAAGUUCCAAUUUGGGUAUUAAUUAAUGUGAUUAUAUUAACAAAUUUAUAUGUUGCAUAUAUAUGUGCUGCCGGCCAUCGAGCCGGCUUUUUUUUCCAGGUUUUGGAAACCUCCCCCGUGCAGGGGAGGUUCUGCCGAAAUUUUCUACUUAUAGUGUUGUUUUUUUUUGUUUUGCAGAGCAGGACCUGUCGAGGGGACUUAUGGCCACCCGAGUACGCAACACACGUGGCAGCGGGUGGCAGGUUAGUCCUUAUGGCCAACCGAGUACGCAACACACGUGGCCUGGUGCCCAUCCGCAGCACGGCCACCCUGGGUUGUCCGGCAGCCCUCCUCCGCGCCCCAGAUACUCGUACCCGUACCAGUCGGUGACAGAGUAGGCCAUGUGGGCGCCAUGGGCAGGUGGGAGCUCUCCACACCCUGGGGGGCACUCACCCUGGUCGGCGUGGCCAGAUGGGGGCUCGGGACACGACGGAGGCCAUGGCGACGACGGGUCAGAGUCACAACACUAGGGGUGAGGCGCUAGCUAGCGACUUCGAGUAGUGAUAUUGAUGUAGAUUUGUGGUUUAUGUUAUGAACUUGUGGCGACUUUAUGUUAUAUUUGUCAUAUAUAUAUGUGGAUUUGUGAUAUCUGUGGACUUCAAUAUGUUUCAUGUGUGAUUUAUAUGUGGAUUUGUGAUAUAGACAUGUGGAUUUGUGAUAUGGGCUGUGUCAUGUAAAAAACAGGGAAAAAAACAAAAAAAAAUUCUAGCUUUACCGAGAACCAGAAUACCAGCACUCGGCAAAGAUGGAAAGCUGAUCACCAGAAUACCAGCUUUGCCGAGAGCCAGCCUGGUAGGCUCUCGGCAAAGUUUUUUUUAAAAAAAAAUUAAAAAGUCUUUGCCGAGAGCCUUCUAGCCCGGCUCUCGGCAAAGACGACGUCAACUUUAACGUUUCUUGACGGCGCCGUGGGCUUUGCCGAGGGCGCUUCUGGCCCUCGGCAAAGCCUUUGCCGAGAGCCUGGACACGUGGCUCUCGGCAAAGAAUUCUUUGCCGAGAGAUUCUUUGCCGAGAACUCUUUGCCGAGAGCCACGUGGCAGGCUCUCGGCAAAGCCUUUGCCGAGGGCUUUUAGGCCUUUGCCGAGGGCUCUCGGCACUCGGCAAAGACGGUGGAUCCAGUAGUGGAUUGAAUGGGAUGUAAAGGAGAUGCCUUGGUGGAGUGCACUGGACACCUCGCUGAAAUCUAGUUUGAUGUUGUGUUGUCUUAUUAUCGAGUGGAGUAGUUGAAAGUUGUCUCUGUAUUGUUUCUAGCUUCAGUCCUGGUGGACGAACCUGAGGAUUUGAACUGCAAUACUGUAAUAACUUUGUUAUUUUGAUGUUUAUUGAAAGGCCGGGGCAUAAUGCUCUUGAACUCUAAAAAAAGUGUGUCUCAUGGCUCCUUAACAUCGAAGAAAAUAAGUUCAAAAGGCUUGGAUGACACACUAACUGACUUGGGGUAUGGGAGUCGAUGACUCUUACCCUGUUGACAUUCAUCGCAUGUUGAAUUAUUACAUGAACAUUUAACAAUCAAAAGUUUAUGAUGGCAGUUGAUAGUAAUUAACUCUAAUCUUAAGCCAUCAACUAAUCAUAGGAAAGGCCCAAAAUGAUUUAUAAAGUAAUAUUAUAGGGGUUUAUUCUAACGAGUUCCACGAGUUGUGUUGUUCUCACUUAUCUUGGAGAUAUUCAAUAUUUCACCAUAUAAAAGUAUCUCAAGUGAAGAAUGUGAGCACACCAUUGCGGAGAGCUCGUCGAAUCAAUUGAGACCAACAUAUCAUUUGCUAUAUUUGGAGCACCAGAGAGAAAGUCUUCGAUGGAUGCGACUCGGAAGACUCUAGAAGACCCUAGAACCAUCAUCAUCAUAAGACAAGGGACUAAACCAACAAGAUUCCACAGCUUUGUGAAAUAAUAUUUUUCAGGUAUUUAUGUAGAAGUUGGGAAAGAAAAGAAUCCAUCCAUGACAUGACUCAUUACACAAACAGAUCGGAAAGUGGCACUAGAAGGAUAUGGAAGACACUAUAAGGCAUAGGAACAAAGUGGAGGUCUGAUGGCUGCUAGGUGGGGCCGGCCGACCCCACAUGCUAGGCUGGCUGGCCUGCUCCUACUACCAGGUGGGCCCUCCGUCGUGUGGCGGCCUCCAACCGACCUCUACGAUGCAUCUUGACCAUUAUUUCGUGUCGGUUUGAUCCGAGAGCUGUGGUUCAUCCCACUGGGGUAUAUAAGCAGAGGCAAACCCCCUUAAGACAAUCAAUUCAUUCAUUCCAUCAUUGUUCAGUUCAGAGGUGUCCCUUGAAAGGAUAACCUAGAGCUCCACUAGCUAACCUAGAGCUCCACUAGCUAGGGCAUAGCCUUGUACUUUUCUCUUGUAUUCAACAUUAUUAAUCUAUUUAUGCUAUUUGUCUUCUAGUUCAUUGUAUUCUUCUUCUAGUUCAUCUAUUUAUUCUUCUAGUUCAUCAUCUAGAUUGUCUAGUUCAUCGUGUUCUUGUCUAGUUCAUCUUGAUCAUCUAGUUCUUGUUCUAGUUCAUGUAUGAGUUGAAUACUUGAUAUGACUUGGUAUAAUUCUAGAUACAUAAUUAUAAUGUUCAUUGCCUAUGUUGGUUAUAUCUUUAGUAUAAUUGGAGUAGCUUUGUGUUUAUACCCUUGUUUGUAUAGUGCUCAUUUUGAUGAUCAAGGGGUGGGUGGUAGAUAUUGUGUAAGCGUGGUGCUUAUACGUUGUUUACCUAUGAAUGCACCCUAUAUUUUUGGCCAUGUGGUAGAUCACGAAGGUGACUAUUAUAGCUUCAUUGAGUCCUCUAUAGUCUACUUCCCGAAUAUAGGACAGGUAAGGCUUAGUUGUGGGGUGAUGUCUUGCUCAUUUCUUGACCCACCUUAGCCAUGUCUCUUGUUUAUGAAUACGUGGUAACCCUGACUAUGAUUGCUAUAUAUAAUUGCACUAAUAAAUGUAGCCCAAUGACCUAUAGUUAGAAUAACCCUGGUAGUUAGUCUAUAUUUUCUAGUUCUUUCUAGAGUCAUUCCUACGUAGGAAAAUGCUUGGUGGAACCCCUUUUAGGAUUACCAUGAUCUGUUAUUAAUUAUCCAUAUUUAUGAUAUGAUUGAUCCCUUCUUUGAGUUUGAUCUAGUGGAACUCUUAUCACAAGUGUAAGUUAUAGCUUUUAUUCUUUUGACCUCCAAGUGCCUUCCUAGUGGUAGAAUUAUAAAUAAUGACACCUUGAACUUUUUUUUGGUGAAAUGCUAUAACGGGUGUAUUUUAUCUAUACGCUUGUGGAUAACCUUCAUUCAUCUUUUAUAACUACUAUGAUCAUAAGUACAACCACAUCUUUUGGUGUUGUGUUGGGGAUGACAACUUGGCUUAAGGAAUGCUAAGAGAUGUCUCGAACAUUUUUGACGCCUUUGCUAAGGAAGGAUUUGACCCUUGUAUUUGUAAUUGUGUUAGAGAUGUCAAUAGUGGCUAAGGACCUGCUGCACUACUUGUGGAGAUGCAUUGCCUAGCCUAUGAUGCCAUAUGGAUGUGAUGGGCUUGAAGGCACCGAGCAGCUCUUUAUUCAGCUAUGGCUUCAGAGGAUAUGGACUCCUUUCACAUGGACCUCGGAGGAGAGUAUUCUUCCUGGCCUGCUCCUUGAUGACAAAGUGAUGGGCAUGAAAUUCAAGGAAGGCAUUAUUAUCACAAGCAAUGCGAUUUACAGAAAGCAGACUCUUAUUUGCAUCAGGCACAUGUAGGAUGUUGUUAAGAUGAAUAUUGCGAACUUAGGAAUGCAACAUAUUAUGACCAAUGUAGCACAGAUUACAAAUCACCAAGGUGGUGGUGAGGGACCUAGAAAAUAAACUAAGAAACAAGAAAAUGAAAAAAGAUACAUAGGAGGGUGACUGCCCUCAACAUCUAACACCUAGGAACUGAGCCUGCAAGAAAGUGACACACCAUCACAAAGGUCAACUACACAGAAGACCGCCCAACAACGACGAUGGCAAAGCAUCCGCCAACAAACCAAAUGGUGGAAAAGCAUCCGCCAAUGAACCAACCAGUGGCCAAACAUUCAUCAGGGAGAAGCGAAGAUAUCCACUACGACAAAGCAUCGGUAACUGUGGGACGUCCAAAUCACUCUCGAUAGCAAAGCUUCUACCAGAGAGGAUGCCGACGGCACAAUGGCAAACCAUUCGACAACGAACCAAACAAUGGCAAAGCAUCCACCAACGAACGAAUGGCGAUAGAGCAUCCACGAGAGGAGAUAGCAGCAAAGCAUCCAUUACAAUAUCCAAUGACCAUGCACCGGGCAAGGUCAAGAGUUGCAGGAUAGACCAAUGUGAUUGGAAAUGAAAAACAAUAUGCACCGUGGGGGACUCCUCCGGUAAUCAACGAUAGGACGUAGGCUUAUUCAUUAGCGACACCUUCAAAGAAGGGGGAUGCUCAUAGAACCGCAUCGUCGUUUGACAUAGAAGCAUCUAAGACUGGGCUUUCAUCUAGAAUCUAGCACCGGUGGAGAACAGGCUUGUAGAAUGACGCCUCUAGGAAGGUAAGUGGCAUCAAGACAUCACCGUUGUUCGCCCGACGACCACUGGGCUAGGCUUUCUCCCAGAGCACCACGCCGACUACCGCCACUAGGCCACCCAGCUAGCCCAAGUCGCGAGCCAGGCAAAUGUGGCUAGUGGCCACCAACGCUCGGCCUGAGACGCCAAGAAGGUCUUGGGACCACCAGAACCCACUGCGCCUCAGGCCCUAGAAAAAGCCAACUAGCGGGCGCUCGACUGAGCCCACAAAACCUCCAUCGGGCGCCACCACCACGCACCACGAAGCACAUCGUAGCAAGGGGAGGAGGAGAGAGGCUUGCUCUGGACCAGGGAGGGGUGGAUCCAGUCCCGUCGCCUAGCCUGCUCGCAACAGGACACUGUCGGUGCAACGCCGUAGCGGUCCCUCACGUGUCCCCACGCGUACGAUGGCCGUUCUAAUCUGAGGGGAAUUGCACCGACCACAUCCGUCUGCCAGACUGGAGGGGGUGCGAGAAUCGAGCGUGGCCUGGCUGCCUCGACUGCUCGUAGAGGGGGCCCAUGACCUGACUCCAACACGCGCCAGAGCAUGAAGGAGAACUGUUGUGCUACCCAGCCUUCCGCCACAGGAAGUAGUAGAUCCGGAUGCAAGGAAGCUGGAUGCCACAGAGGGCUCAGAUCCACCCCGCCGGUCCGCCAGUUCUCCGGAGGAGCUAUGUGGAGGGGAGAAAGGCAAAGGAGAGGGGAAGAGGGGGGAGACUAUGACGAAGGAGGCUUUGGCAGGCCGCCGCCAUGCCCCGGGAGGCGGCAGCGACAGCCGAAGAGGGGCGGUAGGUGGCGGGCUGGCGAGCCGGCGGCAGGAACCCCCAAGUCGGCCGUCGGGAGGUUCUCGGGGGAAAAAGUUGCAAGAGCUCACCAUUGGAUACAUGCAGGACAGUCCGGUUUGGCUGACUGUCGAGUGAACGUCAGGCGAUCUGUUUCCACGGCAAUGAUUCUUUAAGCUACAGAUUUAGCCAACCAUGUGCUUGGACUACUCUCCAUAUUUAGCCGUAUCUGCGAUGAGGAUUAGAAGGUGACAAACCGAGCCUUUCCGUACACAGUCAUAUAUAUGCAUGUGGUUAGCAUUUCGGUGACAAAACUAAGCGUUUCAAUUUCAAGCCAAACUACUGCAUUGCCAUCCUCAUCAAUUUACAGUGGUUCACAUUUCGUUCGUAGAAAUUAAUGCCAUUCAUCUGAUGACUAGUUGUACGUGUAGAAGGUCCCUUUGCCUCGCCAAUGGUAGAUUCUUUUUUUGCGAGACCCAGACACAAACGCUCACCAUACAAGUGCACAUUCAUCCUAUAAAUAUACUCACACACACUACCCCUAUGAGCACCUAAACGACUGAGUUGGACCGGCAAAUCUCAUUCAGAAAACCUAUAUAGAAUGCUCAAAUCCAAGGAUGGCCCUCCGCACCCGGCUGCAAAGUUCUGAUCCGCUGGCUAAGCAAAGCACCUCCUACAGUGCAGUUCUUCAUGUGGCUGCUUAUUCACGGAAGGAUUCAGUGCAAAACAAACUAACUUCGUAAAAGAGUGGUGGAUAACCCAAUCUGCCAGGUCUGCAACCAAAUGCCAGAGUCUACAGAUCACAUCAUUGCCGAAUGUAAAUUUGCUACUGAUAGUCUUUCAGAAUGGCAAUUGGCAACAGGGUAGUGGCAUCUGCAAUCCACGAAACUACAACACCAUCCUAUAUUCGAGACAAGCACUUCGCAACCUUCGUUGCCCUUUGUUGCUGGCAGUUGUGGAAAUAGACAAAUUGCUGAUUCUUAGUGUAAUGUUUUCCAAACAGCAUCAUUCGGGAAAACACUGAUGUAAACCUUUAUUAUCUGGGGUGGCAUUUUCAGCCAAGAUCACUUAAUACAAAUUUAAGGUGGGGAAACUCUCCCUCCCCGUUGAAGCUCAAAAAAUAAUAAUUGUUGAUCUGUCCACCAUGUUUGGAGCAUUUCAGGCGGUGAUGGCCGCUCCGGUGGUGAUGGGAACACUGUGGAGCACGACGGUCUCGACGGUGAGCCCGGGGCCAAAGCCAAAGAGGACGCCCCAGUCGAAGCCUUCGCCGGUGGUGGCCCGGCCAUCCUCGGCGGAGCGCUUACGCAUCUCGUCGAGGAUGAAGAGGACGCAGGCGCUGGACAUGUUGCCGUACUCAGAGAGAACAUGUCGCGUAGCGCGCAUUCGCUCCUUCUCCAGCCCGACCUUGGCCUCCACCUGGUCCAGGAUCGCCGGCCCACCGGGGUGCGCCACCCAGAAGAUAGAGUUGUAGUCGGUGAUCCCCAGCGGCUUGAAUGCCUCCUCCAGUGAGCGCUCUAUGUUCUUGGAGAUGAGCCCGGGCACGUCCUUGAGCAGAUGGAACGUGAGCCCGACCUCGCGGAGGUGGCCGUCGAUGGCGCCCUCGGAGUCUGGGAGGAUGGUCUGUGAUGCCGAGACGAGUUGGAACAGCGGGCGUUCCACACGCUCGUCGGGGUCAGCACCGACAAUAACCGCCGCGGCACCGUCGCCGAACAGCGCCUGCCCGACCAUGGAGUCGAGGUGGGACUCGGAGGGUCCACGGAACGUGACGGCGGUGAUCUCGGAGCACACCACCAGGACGCGCGCCCCACGGUUGUUCUCGGCGAGGUCCUUAGCCACGCGCAGCACCGUGCCGCCCGCGAAGCACCCCUGCUGGUACAUCAUCAGGCGGUUCACCGAGGGCCUCAGGCCCAGCAUCUUGGUGAGCUGGUAGUCGGCGCCCGGCAUGUCGACGCCGGAGGUGGUGCAGAAGACGAGGUGGGUGAUCUUGGAUUUCGGCUGCCCCCACUCCUUGAUCGCCUUCUGCGCUGCGGCCUUGCCCAGCUUGGGGACCUCCACCACCACGAUGUCCUGGCGGGCGUCCAGCGACGGCGCCAUGUACGCGCACAUGUUGGGGUUCUCCGCUAGGUACUCCUCCGUCAGGUGCAUGUACCGCUUCCGGAUCUGCGACUUGUCGCCUGUACCAGGUCAGUGAAUGUCAGACAGUCAGAGUCAGAAUAAAACCACCGUCGUCUAGGCAUGGCAUGGCAUGCUAUGGUGGAGCGCGGACGUCAGUGCAAGACCGCCGUCGUCGGUCAGUUUCUGGCCUUUCGAAAGAGCUAGAGAGAGACAAGUAUACUCACACAUCCUCUUGAACUUCUCCUUGAGUUCGGUCAUGUGCUCGCUCUUUGUGAUCCGGAAGUAGUAGUCCGGGUAGUCGGCCUGGUGCACGCAGUUGGCCGGCGUCGCCGUCCCGAUCGCCAGCACGGUGGCCGGCCCCGUCGCGCGCUGCGCCUUCCUCACCUCCUCCACGGUCACAGUCGCGCCGGCCAUCGUCUCCGUCCGCUCUUUCUCUCUACGUUGUACCAGAGGCAAUCGACCCCUAGCUACUUCGACAGGACGGUCGCCGGCCGGCUUUCCGUAUCGUCGGAGCUUGCUGUGCGACGGCAAGCGAGCGCUGUGAAGGUAGAUCGGUUAUGGCCUGUGGCUCUGGGAUGGGAGCGCUUGCUUGCUGUAAUGGCAGAGGAGGCAAAGGUUAUAUAGCCGCGCAUGCAGCUGGGGCAAAGGUGUGGAUUUCCCUUAACAUAAGACGACAAUCGAUUUUUAAGGUUGUGUGAGAGUGACUGCAUGCAUACAUGCAUGUGUUUAAAUCGUGCCUGUUCUCCCUUGUGUGUAAAUCACGGUCACGAAUACCAGUAGACAGUGUCACGUGCUACACUGAACGACCUAUGCUGGAAUAUAAGAGAGUGCUAUUGCAAAGUAUCAGCAUAUACUUUGUCAAAAUAUAUAGGAUAUUUUGACUACCGGUUUCCAUCCGUUAGUCGGUCAGCCACGUGAUCACGUGGGGAUUUUGAAGUCUAACCAAAUGGGAUAUGGUCUUUCUUCCCCCACCCUCUUGAAUAUGAUAGACAUAGGGAUGUAUUGGGUAAGUAAUGAGAAAUUAUGUAUCUUGAACAUGAUCACCUCAACUACCAUUUGAUCUAUUUGGAAACUUAGACAUGGUCUCUGUUUUUAGACGAUUGGCUAGAUAAGCAUGGAAAUGCUCCUUUUUAGGAUUAUUGGGCUCUUGCUUUGGAUGGUUCUGUGCCCAUCCGAUAAGAAGAAUUUACUAGAAGCUUACCUCAACAAGAUCAAGACUAUGACAGGGGAUGGUGAAGAAUGACCUGGAAAUCCUUGAUGGGUCAAGAUUCAGCGAUUGAAUGGGAUGUAAAGGAGAUGCCUUGGUGCAGUGCACUGGACACCUCGCUGAAAUCUAGUUCGAUGUUGUGUUGUCUUAUUAUCGAGUUGAGUAGUUGAAAGUUGUUUUACUGUUAAAGAAAACUCUCUGUAUUGUUUCUAGCUUCAGUCCUGGUGGACGAACCUGAGGAUUAGAACUGCAAUACUGUAAUAGCUUUGGUCUUUUGAUGUUUAUUGUAAGGCCGGGACAUAAUGCUCUUGAACUCUAAAAAAAGUGUGUCUCAUGGCUCCUUAAUUUAGUUUAUCUCAGCAAAUUUUGUGGUACUAACUGGCUUGUUUGAAAAUGGCGGUGGAUUGUGUGGGAUGGGCCGAACCUGGAGAUCUUAGAGUUAUCCUUUCAACAAACCUCUUUUUUCAUUUCCUCUUCUCUUGAUAUCAUAUUCAGUGCUACGUACUCCUCCAAAUUGUAGGUCAUUCUGGCUUUUCUAGAUUCAUGGUUAUUGCUAUGUAUAUAUCUAUAUAUGUAUUAAAAGAUAUGUAUCUUAAGAAGCUAAAACAAUCUAUAGCUUGAAAUGAAUUUGGCAAGUCACAAACAAAUUAGAAUACGCUGCUCCAAAUGGUGAACAUACCUUCAAUUCCAACAGCAAGUAAUAUAUAGGAUCAUACAUACUUUGGACCUAAUUGUUUUACCUAGCACACUAUAGAUUUCAUCCACUGGAUUGUUAGUGGUGGGGAUAUAUUGUUGGAUUGUCAUGAAUUGCUACAAUUUAGUUACUAUUGUAGGCUUACCCUGGGACCUGUUUGUUUUAACAUGUAGAUUUAACACGUGCAAGUUCAAAUGUAGUUUUAUUAGAAUUCAUGUUGUCGUAUAUAUAUAGUUUAACUGUACUUUGAACAAAUAUAUCACGUAUAUUCUCCCUCUGCUUGCAAAAAUAUAAUAGUUAAAACUAUAAUCAGUUGAGUCCCCGGGCCUACUCCAACUCCUACCGACAGACAAAAAAACAUAAUGUUCAAGUUAAAACCUUCGCAUACGCCACCUCCUUCGCUUGUUGUUUCUUAACAUCACCUUCCAGAGAGCUGCGCUCCCUUUUUAUGUAGUUACAACUACCCAGUGGUUACCAAAGGGGGUUCAAGAUAGUCAUAAGAUGACACAAGUGGCCUGUCACGGAUGAGAGCAUAAUUUGUUCACGCCUAUCAUGAAGGCAUUGACAAUGUUGGUGUCGGGUGGUUCUUGCGCCGUGCAACAAGAAAACCCUUAAUCCGUGAUGAAUUAUUUAUGACGGAUUCGGUGAACGUCACUAGCAUUAUACCAUCACGCAACGCAUAACUGGGAGCAAAGUGGAUAUCCAGCCCAAACCCAAUACACACUCGCAUGUAUAAAAAUGCACCCCAAAACCUAAAUCCAUCCAUCUUUGUCCACCAGCCGCCGCCACCCCAACACCUCACCAUGUCGCUCCCAAUUGAGUGCUGGCACCCUGGGUACACCUCCUACCAGAGUGCUAACGCCCCCUACUGCUCCUCCUUGUGAGCGCCACCAUUCCCUGCGUCACCUCCCACCCGAGCGCCGCUGCCCUCGAACCCCUCCCCCACCCUUCCCUUGGAUCCAUGUGCAACCAUCGGUGGAGCAGCAUAAUUCGCCGAGCCUUUGUGUCGCCACCUAUGGCUUCUUCUCUGCUGUGAGGCGGUAGCAGCAGCAAUCUGUCCACGCCCAGCCUCUGCUGCCGCACUAGGCCGCGGCAACAGUUAGAUCCGCGCCGAGCACCUCCAUCACCACCGAUGGCUUGUUUUCUGCUGUGAGGCGGCAGUAGCAGCAAUCCGUCCACGUUCAGCCUCUGCUGCCGCAACAGGCUGCUGCAACAGCUAGACCUCACCACCGUAGUCCUGCUAUUCGUGCAGAUGCCCUUGAAGAAGUACGGGAUGUCGCUGCACAGGUGCUGUUGACGCUGGCCUCGCCCAGAUCCUGUGAGGCCCCUGAUGUCGUUGCACAGGGAUGGCCUUCGCAGUUACCGUAACAGCGCAACAAUCUCUUAUGUUUUCUGUGCAUCUUCGAUCGUCAUAUGCCUCCGCCAGAUGGAUUUUUUAUCCCCUCUUUUUAAUUGCUGCAGGUUUUUGUUGUGCAAGGCCCCGUCCCCAUUUCUGUAGUCCAGCAGCCGAUACUAGCAGGUGAGGACGAGAUCUGUCACACGCACCUUCAUGCCAGAAUGUAUAAAAAUUAAAUAUUCAGAUGGUUGCUACUUUUGCAUUGUUGGAUGGUAAUUCAUUUGUUAAUGGUUCACAUGUUUUCCUCAUGUUACUACUAUUGCUAGUGCCUUGUAUGCUUUGAAUCGUUGCUCUUUGUUUCUCUUACCUAUUAGUCCUGAGUUCCUAAUUAGAUAAUCUCUCCAUUUUUGUAGUUUGUAGUGAACUGUUGUUGUCAAUGGAAUUUGAUUUUUCUAUCAAAAGGUUUAGAAUCCAAUCUGCAAAACCUUGUCCAUUUUCAUACAUAGCUGAACUCUAUUUUCUCAAAUUUAAUGCAGAGUGUUCAAAAAAAAUGUUAUAAUUUAUUCAUUUCAAAUCAAUGUAUGUUUCUGUGUGCGUGUACUCUCACUGUUGAUUGUACUUCUAUUUUGUACAGGUACUACUUUCUUCACUUGAUGAUUUAUGUUAAGUUCAACUUGGGUAGCAGCAGCAAUAGAGGUUUUAAAGCUCUCUAUGCAGGUACAUGCAAAGGAACAGAAUUCUAAUUGAGUAUCACGUGCCAAUUGAUUCUGGCAAUUGUAUGUAGCAGCCCAUUCUAGCAAGAGGUGAAGCUGUUGUUCAGCAUCACUGACAGGAGAAAAUUUGACAAGCGCACAGAACGACCAUCCAUGCUUUCAGGAAAGGAAUUGGUGCAUAAACAAUAUUGGAGAAAUGCUUGACGAAGGAGCAUCAUUCCACUGAGGCAGCUGCAUUGCUUAUUUGCGGCAUGGAGAGACAAUUGUUGGCUAUAUGAAUUAGUCUUGUUUUUAAAUUUCUUCAUCAUCAAUGUGUAAAUAUUUAUAUAUAUAAACAUAUUUGACCAAAUGGUUGUAAAUCUAUAAUUGGAAAUGUAAUAAAGAAAUGUCACCAAGUUCGCCCCAAGAAGAGACCCAACUAGUGCUAGUGUAGUGGCUUAUAAAACAAAUCCCCACCAAGGGGCCACAUGCAAAUAAUAGUUGCCUAUAUAUAAUGCCUAAGAGCAUCUCCAACAACUUGGUAAAAUUCACUUGUCAAAUCUUGAGUUAUAGCAAGUUGCUAAUUUGUUUAGCAAAAGAAAAAAGGAUGUGUCUCCAAUAAGUUGCUAUUCUCACUUGGUAAAAAUAGAGGAUGACGGAUGGGACCCGCUCACUUGGUAAAAUAAUAUGUGUCUCCAACAAGUUGCGCUCGGGAUAGCAACUUGGGAUAGCAACUUUACAAAUCUCGGCAGUAGAAACCUCUGGAUAGAAACUUGGGAAAUUUAGCAAGUUGAGAUAAGGAGUUGUUGGAGGAGGAUUUUUAUGCUUUUAGCAAAUUUGGUAGGAUAGCAUGUUGAAAUACCAAGUUGUUGGAGAUGCUCCAAGGGCAUGAGGGCAAGGGACUCUCACUACCAUUCUUUUGCUUGUCAAAACCCUAGUGUGUCCCCUUUAAUCGGUGAGCUCUCUUCCUCUUGCAUGUUGGAACCUCCAUCACAGAACCUUCUCCAUGUAGCCUUUGCAUGGAACAUUCACUAGACCUCUGCACUAGACAUUCGUCAAAGGACUUAUGCAUAGAGCCUUAAUUUGGGAGCCUUCACAGAGACCUUCGUUGUGGGAUCUCUUCAUGGGGCCUUCAACUCGGGACCUCCGCAUAUGGCCUUCAUCGCAGGACCUCUGUUUGGGACAUUCUUAGGGGACAUCCGCAUGGGACCUCUGGAUGGGACCUUUGUCACAGGAGCUCCACAUGAGACCUUACGUCGGAGGACCUCUACGUGGAACCUUCACCAAGUGAACUUCUCUAGCUAGCCUUAUCGAAGUAGUCUUCUUUUCUUGACCCUGUUCAGGACCAUUGUUCCCAGAAAUGACAAUAGUAUAUGUAAAGUUGAUGGGUUUUGUAGUUUAUUAGUUACUUUUGGAAAAAGUCCAAAUUACUCUAUCCAAGUUUAGCGUAUGUCUAGAUAACCCCACUAAACUAACAUUUGAUCCAAUUUACUCCCUCCAUCUAUUUCAGCUGGUCUAAUUUACCAUUAACAUGAUUUGUUAUUUUUUUGUCACAUAAAAGAUGAGUUUCAAUAUUGAUUUUUUGUGAGGUGUUAAAUAAGCACAUCUCAUGUUAUUAUGUUAGAAAAAAUAUAUCUUAAGUUUUCAACACAAUUUUGAUAGCUUAAGAAAGUUUGAUUAUAAAUUAACACUAGAGAUAAUAUUGUGCAAAACAUAAAGAUGAAAGAUACAUAAUGUAUUUAUCCAACAAAAAAUGUCACGUCCUAUAUAACCUCACAAAAUUUAAAACUAACACUACUAUAGGAAACUUAAUCGAGCAAGGCAUUUUGGGUUAACCAAGGUGGUUUUUGCAACCGCUUCACACAAAAGGUCAUGCUAAAUGGGACCUUUUCCGAGGCAAUUGGAUGCCUGCUCGGUAAAUUGGAUAAAAACAAAAAAAAUGAAAACUUGUGGGUAAACCCACCAAGCCCAUCCAUAGGCCCACCAAGCCUAUCAUGCACCAUCGUUGCUGCAUUCAUACCUCGCUAGAUCUGGCCACCACGCUCGUGGAUCCGGCCACAUUACUCGCAGAUCCAGGCACCACCCAGUGGAUUUGGGUUGGAGAAGCCACCACCAAAGGAGCUCCUCGUCCAGAUCUACACUAUUGGAGGUGCUCCUCAGCCAAAGCUGCUAUGGAGCAUGAUGGAGAGGGAGUAGCUGCCGCUAAAGCAGCUCCUCGUCAAGAUGCACGCCGCUCGAGGUGCUCCUUGGCCAGAUCUACCACCGAGCAUCGCAAACCUUGUGCUCAAUGAGAGAGGCACGCUGUGGAGGUGAGGCACUAUUGGGGAGCCGUGGGAGAGAGGAGGGAAUGAUGCUCCACCGGGAUAGGGAGGGGACAGUGCUUUUGCCGUUGGGAUGGGGAAGGGAGUGGGUCACCGGGAAGGGAGGGGAACGACUGUGCCUCGAGAUAGGAAGGGAGUGUGCAUCCAGCUAGUUAGUAGAGGGGGCGUCGUUGUGCUAGGGAAUUGGGUAGUGAGGGAGAGACGGCUGACUGACGACAGAAGUGAGUGAAAGUGUGAAACCCUAACUCCCUUUCGGUAUAUAUAUAUAUAUACCCACUAUGUAUUGGAUAUGGGCUUUUGGUCAGGCCUUGAAGAUAUUAACCAAGGUGGGCUUUAUAAGAGAGCCGCCUCCAAAAAUGGGUAUACUUUUUGAGGCGGGCCACUUAUAUAGGGCCUGUCUUGGUUAAUAGAUUUUAGGAGGUGCCUCCAUAUAUCAAUUUUCUGAGGCGGUUGAUUGUAACCGCCUUGGUUAAUAAUAUAUGAGACAUUAACUGAGGCCGUUGAAAUUCCUUACCACUUUGGAGCCCCAUUUCCAAAUGUUGCGCAAAUGAAUUAUUGUAGCAGUGUAAAACAUAAAUUAUACAUAGAGAAGCAAAAAAAUCAUUUUAUGUUUAAGAUGUAAAUUGGACAAACUGAAAUAAUUGGAGAGAGUGAAUUGGACCAUAUGUUUGUUUAAGGAGAGCAAUUUAGACUUUUCCAUUCGGUUUUCAAUAGAGUUACGUUUGCCUGAGCAAUGUAUUCAAUAUUAAUAGGUUUUUCAACUAAAUUGUUUCAACUUUUUUGAUUAAAAAUUGUAAAGUAAAUUUAUACUUAAUAAUAAAGAGGUAAAAUUUCAGAUGUAAAGUGAAUUUUUUGGUCCAUCCAUUUUUUUUGUCUAUCUCUCUCUAACUAGCGAAAAAUAGAGAGUUCUCCCGGUUCGAAUAUAACCCAUGAUCAUACGAGUUAGAAUAGCUCUUCCUAGAGUCCUCUUGAGAAAGGUUUCUAAAAUAACCUAGACAGAUAUUUUUAUCCAAAUGAAUGAUAAUCUUAUAACCUAUAAACUGAAAAGGAAAUAACUUGGAUAGAUAUAGGAAUCCUAAUAUGAAUAGAUCCAUCGUUCCCAAGUAACAUGAAUAGGAAUCGAAUUCCAAAGAAACAGGAGGGGCAAAUGUUUAUUAAAAGACCAACAAAGUAUAGAAAACAUAGGCAAAAACUGAAUGUAGAAAGAGCAAGUGCUCACGAAAAAAAGAAAAAGAAAAAGUAAAAGAUUAGUAAUGGAGCUGUAUGGCCUAAAGGAUCCAGUUUACUUCUAAACAUCUUCUACUAGGAGGAUUCCCCAUAUAUUCUUACUAUAAUCUAUCGAGUUAUCAAUAUAUAUAGUCUGAGUAUUAAUAGUUAGUUUUCGAGGAGAAAGAGAAAAAGUCAUGUGAAAAAAAUAAUGCUAGCAGUAUGUGUGCAUAGUUAUGUGUAAGUAACUGCAUCCACUAUUGAAAUCAUUUAUGAGUAGGGCAUGCAGGAAAUGGAGAAUUGGAUGAUGACAUGGCUCAAGAAGGUGCGAGAGAAUUAAGCUAGUGGGAUUUAUCUUUAUAAGAGAUAUAGAUGAGAUUGUAUCCUGGCUCUGUCUCUAAAUAAACAGAGACGUACAUACGCCGCUAACUAAGCUGCACAGUCAGCAUAACACCUUAAAGUCAAGUGCGUGGAUGAGAAAAACCUGUUGCGUUGUGUGCACUGGCUAUAUGCACGUGUGUUUACUUAGCAGCAGGUUAACUCUUCCGUUAGCGAUAACAGUUUUACUAAGACCACUUUCUUAGUCGUACCACGUGAUGUGACUGUUGUGUCUCCAGGGAAAAGUUUUCUCGUAUAUUCUAUAUAAACUAGUGGAGGGCACGCGCCCUCAAGUGCGACUGCAUAAGACCAGUUUUGUUCAUGGUGUGAUAGCAUUCCAUGGAGGAUAAGUAUAGAACAUACAAUAGUUGUGGUGGUGCCAAAUGUGAGAGUUUUGAGAAGCCAAAGUCCAAUAUAAUGAGGAUAAUUAUACAUAUGAAAUAUUACAUCUAAUUUAGAGUUUAAGUCCGCUAGCACCACAGAUAUGUAGCCCAAACAUAUAGGUGCAGAAAACAAUUAAAGUUUGCUACAUGGCGAAGUAUAGUGUCUCUACAAAAGCAUUAUAGAGUGUUGGGCAGAGAUAUUAUACAGGAUCAUUAGUAAGUGGAUUGCAGCCUUCGUUAGACUUGGAUAUAGACUCGUGAAUUAUGGAAGACAACAUCCACGUCAACCAAUGGUGUGUCAUAUUUCUGGUCAAACUCCAAGCAUCUGUAGUCCUUUUUGAACCAUCCUUUCUACAGUCUUUCAAGGAUUAUCAUUCUCAGACACUAUUUUAGGUAAAAUUGAGAAACAAUACUAAUCAAUUAGCCAUGUUAAAUUAGACCAAACUGUAUGCAUGGAACCAUUUAAAGAGACAAGGCCCCUAAUAUUCAGGUAGAAAAAGUUAAACAGGAAAUCAGUCCUCCCCUAAUUAAUCAGACGUGCUGAAUUAGAACAACCUAUAUGCAUGGAACCUUUCAGAAAAAACAAGGCUUCCAAUGUUGCUGUAGAAAUCAGGUACUAAAAAAAGUAAACAGGCAAUCACACCUCCCCUAACCCAGAUAGUUCCACAAAAAAACAAAAUACAGUCAAAGCAAGCAUCAAGUCGGAUGAGGCAAAUAGCUAUGUCUGAACUAAAGACUUCAUCUACAUUUAAGUAUUAGUUAACUGCACUUACCAUAUGCGCUUGACUGCAAUUGGGCAAUGCUGUUGGGUGGACUUGUAUAGCUAGAAUGAAAACAAUAAAAAUCAAUAGAGCGGCACAUGAACUUGUGCACCUGCAAAACGGUAAAGGAAUUAUGUAAGUGUCCAAAAAAGAGCAGCAUAUUUGCAACCUGGGAUGCAAGGACUACUAAGACCUGCAGCCCAUAACUAAAGUGAAACUUCUUGAAAAUUACUACUUACAAUUCAGUGCAUAAUAGUACCUGACUUAUUGGAGCCUUGGGCGGUUCAGUUGAGCUUAUCAGUUAAUCUUGUCACAUGCAUCAUACACCAAAAGUGCUUUCAUGAAAGCUCUGAUGUAAUCUGAAAUGAUUUUAAACCAUGUAGGUUGCCCAUACAUACAAACAUAAAGAAGAAUUAAGGAACCUACCAAAAAUUGUUUAGAAAUAUUUUUGAAGACUCACAGAACCUUCCAUCAUUGUCCACCUUCUCCAAGUUAAUUUAAACACUCAUUGGUAGAACUGACACAUAUAUGUGGGCAUACACCACACAGCCGCUCACCAUGUCUUCUUUUGUUUCUUUCCAUCCGAAGAGACCACGUACCACAUAAGAAUAUCGCUGCAGCAUGAUCAGAGCAGCAACUCGGGUCAAUCAAGUCCCGAGCCCAUAUAUGGCGAUGCAGUCUCAGGAGUUUUUUUGCCUAUAAGUGCUUGUGCUUGGGUCUCCCAUGCAUGGCAGUGUUUUGGAAUCCACCGGUCCUGCCAUAUUUUGAUAGAACUCCCAUCACCAAUUCUCGUUUCAAGAGUCCCAUUUUCAACACAUCCCUUUUGGCUAAAAUUGCCCUCCAGGUCUGGCUAGCAUGCUUCUAGAGGCAGAUAGAAAAUCAGUAUCAUGAUAAUACCUAGUACCUUUGCACGCAGCGAGUUUGGCUUGUUGAUUAGUCUCCAGCCAUGCUUUCCCGAAAUAGCCAAGGUAAACUUUCGUAGAUCGCGGAAAACCCAUACCUUCAGCAAAUUUUGGUCGUGUGAGUAACUCCCAAUGUUGCCAAUGCAAGCGUCUAUUAACCGCAGAGCCACCCCACCGAUAGUUUGAAAUCACUGUUUUCAUUUUCCGACAAGCUAAGUAUAUUUGGGUAGAUAGAUGGAAAUGUGGGAGCCUCGUGGUCGUGUUCACCCUUGGAUAGCUGCAGGACGGUCCGAUAUGGCUGACUGCUUGCCUAGUGAAGUCGACGAGAGCAACGUCAGGCGAUCUGAUUCCACAGCAAAGAGUGGUGGAAUAACCCAAUCUGCGAGGUCUGCAAUCAAAUGCCAGAUUCUAGAGAUCACAUCAUUGUCGAAUGUAAAUUUGGUAUUGAGGUUUGGCGAAAGCUGGGGGUAGUCUUUCGGAAUGGCAACAUGGGAGUGGCUUCUGCAAUCCACGAAACUGCAGCACCAUCCCAUAUCCCAGACAAGCACUUCCCAACCAUCGUUGCUCUUUUUUUUUUUUUUUGCGAAUAAACCAUCGUUGCUCUUUGUUGCUGGCAGUUGUGGGAAUAGACAAAUUGCUGAGUUCUUAGUGUACUAUUUUCCAAACAGCAAAGUAGUUAUCGUUCGGGAAAAACACUGAUGUAAAGCUUUAUUAUCUGGUGGCCUUUUCAGCCAAGAUAUCACUUAAUACAAAUUUAAGGUUAGGGAAACUCUCCCUCUCCGUUGACACACAAAAAAAAAUAAUUGUCAUGUAAUGGACUCUAGACAGGACCUGUCUACCAUGUCUGGAGCAUUCAUGCCGUGAUUGCCGCGCCAGUGGUGAUGGGGACGCUGUGGAGCACGACGGUUUCAACGGUGAGCCCGGGACCGAAGCCAAAGAGUACGCCCCAAUCAAAGCCUUCGCCCGUGGUGGUUUGGCCAUCCUCGGCGGAGCGCUUGCGCAUCUCAUCGAGGAUGAAGAGCACACAGGCGCUAGACAUGUUGCCGUACUCAGACAAGACAUGACGCGUGGCGCGCAUCCGCUCUUUCUCUAGCCCGACCUUGGCCUCCACCUGGUCCAGGAUCGCCGGCCCACCGGGGUGCGCCACCCAGAAGAUGGAGUUGUAGUCAGUUAUCCCCAGUGGCUUGAAUGCCUCCUCCAGCGCGCGCUCGAUGUUCUUGGAGAUGAGCCCGGGCACGUCCUUGAGCAGGUGAAACGUGAGCCCGACCUCGCGGAGGUGGCCGUCGAUGGCGCCCUCGGAGUCCGGCAGGAUUCUCUGUGAUGCCGACACGAGCUGGAACAACGGGCGCUCCACGCGCUCGUCAGGGUCAGCUCCCACAAUAACUGCCGCCGCGCCAUCGCCGAACAGCGCCUGGCCGACCAUGGAAUCGAGGUGGGACUCGGAGGGUCCCCGAAACGUUACGGCGGUGAUCUCGGAGCACACCACCAGGACGCGUGCCCCGCGGUUGUUCUCGGCGAGGUCCUUGGCCACGCGCAGCACCGUGCCACCUGCGAAGCACCCCUGCUGGUACAUCAUCAGGCGGUUGACGGAGGGCCUGAGGCCCAGCAUCUUGGUGAGCUGGUAGUCCGCGCCCGGCAUGUCGACGCCGGAGGUGGUGCAGAAGACGAGGUGGGUGAUCUUGGAUUUCGGCUGCCCCCACUCCUUGAUCGCCUUCUGCGCCGCAGCCUUGCCUAGCUUGGGGACCUCAACCACCACGAUGUCCUGGCGGGCGUCCAGCGACGGCGCCAUGUACGCACACAUGUUGGGGUUCUCCGCCAGGUACUCCUCCGUCAGGUGCAUGUACCGCUUCCGGAUCUGCGACUUGUCACCUGCACCAGGCCAGUGAAUGAAUGUCAGACAGUCAGAGUCAGAAUAAAACCACAGUCGUCGGUGGUCAAAGGCAUGGCAUGCUAUGCCGGAGCACGGAAGUCAGUGCAAGACCGCCGUCCUCGGUCAGUUUCUGGCCUAUCGAUGGAGA